Molecule: long non-coding RNA, 70183 nt
Filed under: Capsicum annuum
Lineage: Eukaryota; Viridiplantae; Streptophyta; Magnoliopsida; Solanales; Solanaceae
Description: long non-coding RNA (CANN_LNC000886)
Source: RNAcentral
CAACUCUGUGGCUGGAUGUUACUGCUGAUCUGGAGCUCGUGUCUCUGAACCUAUGGUGUAACAUGAAAGAAAGCACCAUAGCGCAAAUGCGUCAGUACAACUGGAGUACUGAGUAUACGACUGAGGUAGGCUAAUGCAAAAGGGUUUACAUGUAUGAACAAUGAUAAUUGACUGAUUAAUAUGAACGUGAGAAUGUAAACAUACAUACAUAGUAACUGAGAUUGUGAGUACGUGAUAGCUAGAUCUGUACGCUAAUACAUGGUUUACUGAUAGCUGACAUGGCUGAAACUGUAGUUCUGAUAACAUGGACGACUAUAUCUGACAGUCUUAAAUAUGAUGGAACUAUCUGAGUUCUGCACUAUAACUGAAUUUGACUGUAUCUGACAGUCCUGGUAUACUGAUAUCUGAAGAACUAUCUGAGUUCUUUUACUGAUACUGGGUCUAAAAUUGUGGGAGGUAGUUGUUUAACCGACAUGCCCCAUAUGUCCCAUUAUGGCUAAGCUGGGGUUCAAUGUCUGUCCUGACCGGAAGGGUGUCAAUACCGCGCCACUGGUAAGGACAACAUGUGAGCAACCCUUAUAUAACAGGUAACUCUAGUGAGAACAGUGGUAACCCUCAUAUAACAGGUUAAGCCACCUCGUCUACCCUUAUAUAAUAGGCUGCUAUGUCUCAACCUAUGUUGGCUCCAUAGUUUUGGAAUACAAGGAUGACUGUUAAAAAUCACACCCUCAUAUACAGGUGAAUUCUCAUCCUUGGGUUCACUCGGUGAUAACUCCUACUCCCAUCUGGAGAGAUUGAACAUGAUUUAACUGACUGUACGUGAGUGGAACUUUCUAAAUUCCGUUGACUGACGGAAUACUACUGAUAUCUGAUAACUGACUGAGACCAUGAGGUUUCUUGAGUCAUAUAACUGACUGAAUUCUACUGAAUCAUGGCUUGAUUUGUAUAUCGUGAAACAUGACAUGGCUCUAGGCACAUAGCUAUAAUUUUCGGGUACAAAUACCCCCAGGACUCGAUGGAAGAAAACGAACACAACAUGACUGACUUGAUCAUAAGAUUGGAGUCCACAAUUCACAUUAUCAUAAAUAGGGGAUAUUAUACAUCAUGCAGUUCCUCAACAUAUUAAGCAUAGUAAGAAGUGCAUAGCUAUAUUUCAUGUGCAUAUUGUAUAUCUCCAUUAUCAUACAUGCUUCAUACCACAAUAAUAGCAACACAUGAAAAGCAUGGAAUUCAUAUUAAAGUAUAUAGCUAACAUGGACUUGUCAUUUAGACAUCAUGGAACCAUAUAAACAUGAAUUUCUAGCAUCCUAAGCAUUUUAUCGAACACCUUGCAUGCAUUCUUUAAGUCAUAGGUGUGUUUCAUAACUUGUACCAUUUUACACCACCUAAAGUUCAUAGUUUUCAACUAACAAGCAUAUAUAUUCCAUGAAAACACCUCUAGAUAUCACCUUAAAACUUAAACAACAAUCAUCAACAUGUACAUGCUCAUAUCACCAUAAAAAAUCAUAAAAUAGUAUUUAAAACAUGGUUCUUGAUCUCUAUGAAUGGAUUGGAUCUAGAUGAACACUAUGCAUACCUUAGAAGGAAGAUUCUUGAUGAUUGACGGAGGAAUUUCCUUGAAAUUGAAUCUUCAAGAUUGAUUAUGUGACCCUAGUUGUUUUUCUCCUAUUGUGCUCUUAGAUAAAGAACUUUGAGAUGUUAAUAGGGUUGUAAUGUGUUUAAAAGCUAUAAAUUUUGUAAGGCUAAGUUUAGGGACGUGUAAGGAGUGUUAAAAGACUUAAUUAUCCUCAAAAUAACUCAAAAACUAAGUGUUUUCGUGGCUGAAAUCAUAAGUGUGCGUCGCACACCUCAUCGCACAUGCUAAGAUGUGCGCCGCACAUCCUAUCGCACAAGAUGAGGUGUGCGUCUCACAUGCUAUCGCACAACUGAGGUUGUGCGCCGCACAUGCCAUCACACACUUGGUCCAGUAGCCAUGUGCGAUUUGUUAGGCUUCGCACUCCUCUUUGCAAGGCAAUAACUUCAUGCUCGGGUGUCGGAUUUUGGUAAAAUUUGUAUCGUUGGAAAGAUAAUUUGAUUCUCUAUAAAAUGGUGGGUCUAAAUCUUCCAAAAUAUCAUAUAUCAAUCAAUUUAUCCUCAUUCAAAGGUUACUCUUGCGAAAUCAUACACUAAAACUUGAUGGAUUCAAAAGCUAUUAACUCGCAUUACUCUAAGUGACUCAUAUGAUCAUACUUAACACAUCAUAAGCUAUCUUAUCGCUAGGAUACUCAUUGUAAGUCAUGCACUAAAAUACAAAUCACAGUAUAGAAGGUUUCAUACGUAGGAAAACUGGUUAUUAUUGAAAGAAGAGGAUAAAGCCUCCACAUUAAGUCAAGUGGGCUUUUCAUAAUAAGCCACUUGCAGUUUUUAGUAGUUCAAAAAAAAUUAAAGAAUUAUUUAAAUAGAAAAAAAAAUAUAACUUUAAUAAAAUUUGAAAUUCAAAAGUUAAAAUUACAAAUUUGUUUGUAUUUCUAUCUUAAUUGCAUAACUGUUAAAUAAAUCCAAAAAUUUGUGUUAAGUUUUUAUAUUUCACCAAAUGCUUUUUCUUUGAUGAAUUUUUAUUGGUCUCACGCACAUCAUUCUCUCCCAGGAGAGAUCUAUUUCUCUUUCAUUUCUUGCCAAAUAUAUUUAAUUUUUUUCUAUUUAUUUUAGCUCUCUUUAAAAAAAAAUUCAUUUAAUUUGUGAAUCUCAUGGUUAUUAAAAAUUAAUACACCCAAUUUGAAUUCUAUUUUGGCAUUUGGCAUCGAGGAAUCUUCGAUCGCAGAAACAUUCUAAGGCCAGAGUUAAUCUUUCAAAGAACGUUGUUCGUAGUGACUAGAAGAAGAACUGGGCAAAAGCAUCAGAAAAUUUGCAUACAAGAUCUGUAUCUUCUAUUUGCUGAAGCAAGUUCGUAUGGACAUCAAUAUCUCCAGCAAAUUCAUGGGUAUUUUAUUAUUCUAUUUAUGUGUCUAACUUAUGAUCAUAUGGCUUUUGUUCUGAAGCAGCAAAGAAACAUAAUUUGAUGACUACAGUAUGUGCUAGCAAAACAGGUCAUUAACUGAUUUUAUUUAUAUACGGUCUAAUGCUAUGCGGAUUUUAAAUAUAUGUGUAGUACCAACAUAUAAUUGAAGUAAUAAAGUUGUUGGUUUGUUUGUCUGUUGAAACUUUAUAUUGAUAAAUAAUGAUUUAUUCAUGACUAUGAGUUUCAAAAUGAUAUUAUUGCUUAAUAUCACUGACUUUCAUUGUGUCUUAAUCAUGUUUUCUGCAUCAUCUUAUUUUCUCUGUUCUCCAUAAAUCAUAUAUCUUAUUCUUAAUUUAGAUUAAAAAAAUAUGAGUAAAAACUUUUUUAAAGAAAAAAUAUUUAUGAAAUUUCUCUUCAGAUGAUCCAUUUUGAUGUUUCAGUUGCUCGUGCCUAAUAAUAAGGUUUUAAACACUAUUACAAAGUUUUACACUUGUGUUUUCUAGGGAAAUGAAAAGUGAUCUUCAUGUGUAAUAGUGUAAAUGAUAAAAUUAUUAUCUUUGUGCAUUGUUAUCCAUUAAAAUUGAUUUCACAUCAUAAAUUAUAUAAAACCUAUAAUUGACAAUACAGUUUGUUCUAACUUUGACCUGUCUAUAUUUCUUAUAUUACACUUUUUAAUUUAUAGUGAAGUAUUAAGUUUGAAUUCUUACUUUUCUGGAGCUUAGAUUUCUAAAUUGUAGACUUAUUUGUGAUAGUAAAAUUUUACUAUCGACAUCAGUUUGAUUAAUUCACGUUAGUUAUAAUUUUGAUGUCAAUUUUUUUGGUCAUAAGAUAGAGCAACAAAAAUUAAAAAAAGAAAAACAUAAGCUCUGUAUUGCUUCAAUUUGAUUCGAAAUUGAAUUUGAUAAGUUUAAUUUGUGUCAAAAUCUAUAAUCAAUCAUCUCGCAUUUUUUUUACGGCUCAAUAAGAGAUUUCCUCACAGGAUAGGACAUUUACAUUAGACUGCAGAGUGUAUGCUUAGAAGUCCUUAUUCUUCUCAUGGUAGCAGAAGAUAUUCAUGUCCAGAAGGGAUGGAUCAGAAAUCUAUGUUGCAAUUCUACCAGAAGGGAUGGAUCCCAAUUUCUUUUAAAAACAGUUUUCACAAGAAGGGAUGGAUCCAAUUUUUUCUAGAUACGGCAGGUACGCUACGGAGUACAACAGCAAGAGUUUAGAAUCUGUUGAAUAUAAACUAUAUUAUCAUAGGGAUGCGUUAUUUAUAUAUUAAAAAAGGCGAUGUCUGACAUAAGAAAUGCUACAAUAAUUUUUGUGUCCAUUGUGUUUCUUGUACUACGGUCAUUGUUGUCGAAUUUGUUCGAUCGGUGCAAUUAUAUUGAUGUGUUGUUUAUGACUAAAAUCUAGGCUAUGAAAACGUUAAUUCUGAGCGACAAUUUAUCUGAGCAACAUUGAAUUUAGGUGAAACUUUUUUCUUUUGUUCGUUUUUGUUAUUUUUAUUUGUCAUUCCCAUUUUUGUCCUUAUAGUGGCAUAUUAUUAAUUAUUCUUUAAUUGAUGUUUGCAGGUUCAUUUCAUAUUUCAGAAUAUAUAGGUCCUAUGAUCUAAUUAAAGGACACUUAGUAAGGUUAAUCUUAAAUGCCUUGGUGCAGGGUAUAAAAAUCAUUUGAUGUUGGUGGUGAUCGGACUUAAGCAUAAUAAUAAGGUGAAAACUAUGCAUCAUAACUUGGUAAGCAUUUCACACAUAUUAUAUAAAUCAUGUAUAAAGUGAUAUCACAAGAUUGUGCCGCUUUGAUUUCAGCGAUUAGCCUCUUUCCAAGAACAUCAAUCAUAAUCUACAAUUAUUUUUUCUUUUUUUAUUUGUCCUAUUUUUUGUGAUUAAUUGUAGAAUUUAAAUGCUUUUAAUUCUUCUUACCGACGUUUAAAGUAUUUAAUUACAUAUCUUUAAAUUAUCUAUGCAAUGCCUAUCACAACACCACAUGGGUGGUCAUAAAGCAUAGCGCAAUAUGGUGUCUAUGCUCUAUAAGAUCUCACCAGUCAAUGACAGUUCAGUUGGUGAUGCAGGAGAUGCUAUCAUGACGCGAUAAUUUUACUUUGCUGGAUUACGAUAUUUGGACUCUAAUAGCGUGGAUUAACAUCUACGUUCAAACCUGAUAAUGACCUUACUUCAUAAUAUGUUGUGUAUUUUCUAUUUUAAGUUCACGAUGAAGACUAUGUUCUUUUCUGUUUAAAUCUUUUAUACAGAACUCUUCCUCUGUAUUAAUGAGAAUUUAAUCACCUCUUGCUCGAAUAUUGAAAAAUUGACCUCUUCUCUGAAGUAGAGCGAAUAUCAGUAUCCUUUUCCACAUCUAAAGUAUUAUCUUUGUCAAAUUCGAUUGAAUUAUUUUUGAGUUAGUCAUUUAUCCAUGCCAUGUGCCAUUUACUUAUUCUUCUUAUAAGGUUAACCCAUUGAGAAAUAUUACAUUUUCAUUUUUGUCUCUCAACUCAAACAAAAUAUAAAACAAAUGUCCUAAUUGUGAAUCUUCUUAAAAAUAAUAUACAUGCUUGGAGUUUGAACGUUUAUGCAUCAAUAGUCAUUAUGGUAAGAUGAGGUGGUGACACGGAGUUUCUAUAAAAUUCAUUUAGCUUCCAUGUUGUAAGACAUUUUAUUAAUUAUACUUAAACAAAUGUAUCUUACAUUGUCUUUUUCAUGAUUUUAGAUUUUCUAUGUUUUAGGGAGGACCAUUUACUUAAUUUUAUUGAUACUAUACGUUGUUGCUUCAGGAUAUGCACCCAUACACUGAAAAGUUCAAGUGAUGAAUACUACCAAUAUGAGUCAUCUCCAUACAUGCACCUAGAGGUAACUUUUUUUUCCUCUUAAUUCUCUCUUCUUAUGAUUAAACAAAUAAACAAGAACAUAAAUAGUAUGUGCAUUGCACAAAGUUAUAAGUAACUAAAGGAAUCUUCUUUUUUUGGAGGGGGCAUUAACGAAGCAAUGAGAUGACUCAAAGAGGAUGAAGUUGACAAAAAAGUUCUCACAAGUAAAAUUUUGGUAAGAAUAAUUGCAUAGAUCGAGUUAUACAUUGUUAACACUGUCAUGUUUUUCUCUUUUCUUAAAUUUGGAGGCUUAACAAGUAGAUGUCUUCAAUAUAGUCUCUUAUUAGUAUGUUUAUUAAUUAUAUCUUCACCAAUUUUCCUAUUUGCUUUAAUCUUUUAGUGAAUCUUUUUUCUUUUUAAAUUGUUGUGGUACAUUUAUCCUUGCGUUUUAUUUUCUCGAGAAAUAAUUCUCUGUUUUCUUAUUGAUUUAAGUUUAAAUCAGUCUCAUUGACAUUUGAUAACUAUUUAAUAAUUUCUUUGGUCUAAUAUAUAGUAUAAUUUUUUACUAAGUGUACUACAUUGAAAAACAUAAUAACAAUUGAAUUCUUUUUACAAAAAAAUGUAAGUUAUUAUAUAAAUAAGUCAUGUAAAUAUUUGCAAUUAUUAUAAUAUAUAUAUAUAUAUAUAUAUAUAUAUAUAUAUAUGUAUAAAGGAGAAUUGUAGUUCAUCCUAUGUGACAUGUCUAAGAAGUUUUCAGUGCGAUUUAUCUUUUUUCUCCUUUUUAAGAAUUUUUUUUUAUUUUUUUUAAUUUUUUGCUCUAUUUUUUUAAUGUUAUAAUAAUAAAUUACUCUAUAAUUGAUACUUCACAUACUAAUUAAAUAGUUUUAUUGUUUCAGUCACUCAAAUUCCUUAUUUAUGAAGGAAAAAAGAAUUGGAAAAGUCUUUAGCAAUUUCUAUUUAUCUUUUUUUUUUAAAAGAAAAUUUAAUGUCUAAAUAUUUUGAUUAAUUCUUUAUUCUUCUUCCAUAAUUAGUGUGAUUAAUUUGUAUUAACUUUAUUAACAAAAUUUAUAAACUUUCUGUCUCCCCACAUCAAAGAUGAUCACUAACUUAUUUUUAACUUUUCAUCUUCUCCUCUAAUUAUUUAUACUUUUUGAUGACAUUUAAUCUUUUUCUAUCAAUUGUGGAGGAGAAGCCAUUGUUUCCCUUCAUAAUCCCUAUAAAUUUUUAGCUAUUUAUGUUAUGGAAAUUUUGUUUUUCGUAAUUAUCUUUCUUUCUUCUUAAUCUUUUAUACUUAUGAGUUAUGGGAUAAUAAUUAUUAUUGUGAAGGUUUGAUCUUUUCAGCUUUUCUGCACUAUGUAUAUGAAUUGUAUUAUUUUAAAAUUUUGAUCUUAUCAAUUUUUUUCGUAUUGCAAUUACGGGUUGUCAUAUUUUAAAUUUGAUCUUCUUUGUUUUUCUUUCAGGUAUAUGUAAACUCAAGGAAAGUAUUGAAACUAACAAACAAGUAGUAGAAGAUUAUUUAUUUUCGUUUUUCUUCCUUUUUUGAAUUUGUUUCUUUAUUUUCCAGUAAGUAUGAAUUUCAUGCAUUUCAUAGUUCUAUUCUUUAUAUAUCUACGUCCUCCGUUCUUUUCUUUUUAAGUUUUCACUAAUAUAUGCCUUACUAAAUCUUUAAUAUUUUUAAUAAUUUAUGUUCCUCUUAAUUCUAGAAUAAUUAAUAUUUAAAAGUAAAGUUGAAAAAUAAUUAUUCAUAUUCUCUUUUGAUUUUUUAAACUGAUAAAUAUUUAGAAGAAACUAUUUUUAGUAUUUAUGACAACAAAGUAACGAAGGGGGUAUAUAGUCAGGAGUAUAUAGUCGGUUCUCUUUACACUUUACUUUUACGAUAACUACUGUAAUUAACAUCUACUACACCAUAUAAUUUUCUUAUUUAUUUUUAAAUCUAAUAAGAUGAUAUAUGUUCUUAUAUAUGUGUGUAUAUGUUAUAAUUGUGGUAUAUAGCAUGAUUCAUUCAAUUUUACUAUUCUCUCUACUUUUUCUUUGAUUCAAUUCACUCCAACUUGACUUAGGUGACAUAUCAAGAAAGCCAAAAAAAGAAUUAUAUUUCUUUAUUCAAUCUCUUGUGUCUAUACCUUUUAUUUUGCUUAUCAUCAUUUCUUUUUCAAUAAAUUUAAAAAUUUUGUAUUUGUAAGAAAUUUUUUUCAGACUAUUGGCAAACAAGUACACUAAUUACUUGAUAAUUAUCUAUAUUCAUUUCUCAUUUAAAAAGAAAAUGUAUUUAAGAACAUUAAACAAUUAUUAUUUUAAAAAUCUUUCCUCAUCCUACUAAUUUAAUCCGAUUAAACUUAAUUCUAAAGAUGCAAAAAAAAAUGAUAAAAAAAUUGAUUUAUUUUAUUGAAAACAUGCGAAAUCUCAAAUUCAAUAUUGUACUAUAAAAUUUAAAAUUCAUAAAAAUUCAAAAGUCACACGCAAUAAAAGAGACGUCUUGAUAUUAAUUAAUAUUAUUAAUAAUUAACAAUUAAUGAUACAAUAAAUAAGAGAAUGAUACUUGGCAACUACAUGUAUAUAAUGGAUCUUGGGUGUUCAUGUUUUUAUUUGUGUAUUCAAGUUUCUCUAUGUGUGUAUAUUUAUUAUAAAUUAUAUAAAGGAGUCUCGAAUCCUCCUAUUAAGUUGUAUUUCCUCUAAUUCUAAAUAAGCGGUAUUCUUAAUUUUUUUGGUAUGAAUAUUUUAUUUGUUGAACUUUUUAUAAUUAUCUUCAGAUUUUUCUCUGUUUGUAAUUUUUCUUUUUAGUUCCCAUUAACAUAGCUUUAUCUGCAGAUUUUUCUAUUUCUUAGUCUCUCUCUUUGUUUCUACAUUUAGUCCGUGGUGUUGUUUUCUAUAUUUUAUUUAUAAUUAUUUAUUUUUUAUUUAUUUUAGAUUUGUUGUAUUUUUGCAAAUUAAUUUUUACAUGUUUGCUUUUUAUUUUUUGAUGAUGUCUCUUUGUAUUUAAAGCUUCUAUAACACUCCCUUAUGUUUUAUGUUUUGAUACUUGAAUUAAGAAAUUUUAUUUUAAAAAUUAAGGACUUUUGUCCUUAAUUAAAUAUUGUGUACAUCAUAAGACUUGCAGGUUGAAUUAGAAAUGUUUCUGGAGAAAACUGGUGAAAAAGAAUUAAAUAUCUUAAUUUUAUUUUGGUUCAUUAUUUAAAAGCUAAUUCAUUUAUGAAAGCAAUCAAAAGUAAAAACAACAAUGAAUUUCAUUAGGCCGAAUACGUAGGUGGCUUCUUAAACUGAUCUGAAUUUUUCAUUUAGAUCCUCAAAUUAAAAGUUAUAUUAUCUGUUAAAUAAAUUCUUGAAGUGAAAUCAAAUAAUGUCUAUUGAGCUCACAUUAUUGACUUUCAACUAACUCAAAAAAUAGCCUUGCUACUUCUUCGGAGCUAGUGGUAUGGACUGCGUACAUCUUACCCUCCCCAGACCUCACUAUGUGGGAAUACACUGAGUUUAUUGUUGUUGUUGUUGUUGUUGUUGUUGUUGUUGUUGUUGUUGUAACUCAAAAAACAAAAUUCAGUCAACUCGUAGAAUCAAAAUCAUGAAGGGUAUUUUUAAAAAAUUAACUAAUUUAUUUUAAAAUCGCGAGAAGCGCGACAAAUUUCACAAAUUUCUUAAUAUUCCGGGAAAUGCUGUAAUGACCCUACAAAUUAUUUUAAAAAAUUAUCCUGUUUCAACCCACCUUAUAAUUUUUAGCCAUUAUUUAUAGUUAUAUAUGGGUCAAACUAUAUGCAUUUUAAAUUCUUUUAAAUCAUCAAAAUUAUAUGUUAAUGGUUUCUGGGUUAUUAUGCUAUUUUUAUCUAUUAAUUCAAUUUUUAUAGUAGUUUUAUGUUUUUUCCAUCCUUUUAAUGGAUCUUCACUAUAUAAAUGUUCUAAUUUUUUCUUAAUUAUUUCUAUUUUAUUUAUUGAAAAUAUAGUUAUUUCUGUUUUAUUUAUCAAAAACACUACUAGUUCUAUUGUAUCUUCAGUAUUUUUUAUAUUUUUUAACUUUUGUGUAAUUUUUUCACUUCCUUUUAUCCAAUUAGUUUUCUUUCUUAUUUUAUUAUUAACUCUUUUUGCUCUUACUUUCUGUUUACAUGGUGUUGUAAACCACCAGUCUGUUCUAGUUAUUAUAUGUGGGUAUAAUUUAUCUAAAAAUGACAUUUGUAAAAGUAUAUCUUUUGAUGUUAGUUCAUAAUUAUAAAUUUCUUCUAUUGUUAAUAGCUUAUCCCAUACUUGUAUUUUUACAUUCCUAACUUUAUAAGUAAUUAAGCUUCCUUCAUUAUUAAAUCCUUUAACUAUUAUUGGUGUUUUUAAUUUAUCCCAUUUACUUUCUGGUAAGCAAUUAUAUCUACAUAAAUUAGCUUCUGCUCCUGUAUCUAUCAUAGGCGUAUAAUAUCUACUGUAAUAUCCUUCUACUACUAUCUUCAUUAAUACAUAUAUCUUCAUUUCAUGUUAAGGCUCUUUUUAAGAAUAACUUUUCUUUGUUAUAUGUUAAGGUUAAUUGUGUAUGUUCUAUAUUAUAUGGUUUUACUUGUUCUAACCAUUUUAUUCCUAAUAUUAUAUCUGCUUUUUGCAUUUCUUCCUUUACUUCGAAUUCUAUUUUUAUUUUUCUAACUCCUAAUAUUAUUUCUUUUUCUGCUAGAUUUUUAUUAUUUAUUAAACUUCUUGGUAGAUCUGGGCACAUAUCAUUAUCAGUCUUUAUUUCUUCAUUUUUACUAGAUAUUUUGCUAUAUAAUUUUCUUCUUGUCCUGUAUUCAAAAGUAUUAGAUAUUCUUUUUCAUUUAUUUUUCCUGUUAUGUAAUAUUGGUUUAAAUUACUUAUUGAAUUUGUUUCAUAACUUGUUCUUUUUGAUGAGCUUGAUGAUUCUGGCUUUUCAUUAGCUAUUCUUUUCGUUGUACUUAUUCUAUCAUUUACUAUUUCUAAAUUUUCUUCUGUAUCUAUGUCUCUAUAGGUAUAAUCAUUAUAAUCUAUUGUUUUUACUAUUUGUUCGAAUGGGCUUUCUAUUUGUAUUUUGUUAAUCUUAUUUUUUCCUGUUAUUUUAUGUUUUGUUGUUAAUACAUAUAGAUUUUUACAUCUUGCUGUAAAUAUUUUACUUCCUGGGGUUAACUCUAUUCCUGAUAUUUUCCAAUAUAAUACUAAUGAUUUAUCUAUAUUCCUAUCUGUUACUGCUACUGAAUAAUUUGCACUUAUUAUAAAUUUAAAUUUUUGGUAUAUUAGAUUUCCUUUUACGGCAGUUAUUAUGCUUUUUUUCUAUAGGUUUUAUAAUUCUAUCAUCUGCUAAAUAUAAUUCUAUUGGUGUAUCUAUUCCUUUUCUAAAACAUGUUUUUAUUAAUAUCUCUGUACCUCCAAGGUGUACAUAUUUUAUUGGGUCUCCUUUACUUUUUAUAUCAUUUAUUUCUUUAUUAAUUAUUCUUUUUAUAUUAAAAAUUGAUAUUUUUUAAACUCUUGACUCUUAUGUAUAAGAAUAAAAUUUAAGUGGAAGGAUUUAUUAUAUUUAUUAAUAAUAAUAGUUAAUAAUAAAAACCUGAUAGAUUAAAAAUGAGGGGCACAACAAUUUCUACAUCGUGAAACGUUCACCGCUUUAGAAUAGAGUAUCUACGCUUCAGGUUAGUGUACUAAUUAUGUUUGCUUUCCGUGGAUCCGUUUUAUUUGUCUAGUACAUGUAUGACUUGAGAACAAGAAAUAUAUGUUCUUUAUAAUUUAAUGCUAAUCUUAAGAAUUUUAAGAAGGACUAGUGAUUAAAUUGGGUGAAUUAGGAAAGAGGCGGCUGAUGGAAAUAACUUCAGUGGCGGUAGCAUUGGAGUUACGCCUUACGAAGCAGUAGUAAAGGAAUUCUUGGCUUUUCUUAUUCGGUUAAUGUUGGAUUGUUAAGUUAAUGAAAAAGAGUAAUUAUUAUUAAUGGUGUUAAAUUAAUAUAUAUGGUUUAGGAGUGAUUCGAUAAUACCUCAAGAAGUCAAGGAAAUUGAUCAAAUUUUGUUACUGUCGUGUGUCCAGUAUGUUGCUGCCAAUGUUCUUGUUUUUUUUUUUUUUUUUCAUCCACUGAUGCUUAGUGAAUUAGGCAUGGCAUCACUUGUUUUCUUAUUAAUUUAUAAGUACUUUCCAGUUAAAAUUCUCUGGUAUAAUUGUAUUACUAGUCCACCGUAUAUUUAAUAAUAAUAAUCUGGCACGUUAUUAUUUCAAUUUUAACUAUGGCCUAGAAAUUAGUAAUAUCACUAUUUAUCAAUUGGUAUUUCAAGUUUUAAAGUUUUAGAGUAAUUCUUUGAUUCGAUUCUUUUACUUUGGAAGUGAAUUUUUUUAUAGUAAUAUAGGUGUCUUUAGAUUGAUACUCUUAUGGGUAUUACAUAUUUGAACAGAUUUUAAUUAUUUGAAGACUUUACGAAAGGAUAAAUUUGUAAAUUGAUAUUUGGCCGUUAAUUCGAGGCAAGUUGAAACUUUCCUUAGACUUCUUUUCAAAGUGCUUAUUUGAAUAUCUGCUAGUUAUGUGUAAUGGGAGUAAUGGGAAUUGGGGGUCCCAUAUAGAUGAUUGUGACGAGCAUCUAUGUGGGUACCAGUGUUGUUUGAGGGGAUAAAAUAAAUUAAUUAUAUGUUUGAACUAUUUUUUCAUAUUUGCUAGCCCGAUGGAUUGAUUAGUUAUGGUACAUAAAUUAUCGAAAAAGUUAGCUAAUGAUGAUGCUUGCACUUGAUAAGUUGAGUGACUUUGAAAUUGAUGCCUGAUUUGGUUUAAGACACGAAGUGCUUUGCUUGACUUUAUUGAUGAUUUGGGGUCAGAGUUGUACGCCUGCACAUCAUGCAUUGCAUUUCAUAUGGGAUCGGAGUGCACGCCUGUACAAUAUUAUAUAUAUUUAAUAGGAUCGGAGUAUACGCCUGCACGGUAUUAUAUAUAUUUAUUGGGAUCGGAGUACACGCUUACACAGUAUAUUUAUUGGGAGCGGAGUGCACGCCUGCACAAUAUAUUUAUUGGGAUCAGAGCGCAUGCCUGCAUAGUAUAUUUAUUGAGAGCGGAGUGCACGCCUGCAUAAUCUACAUAUUGGGAUCAGAGUGCACGCCUGCACAGUAUAUGCAUUUGCGUUGCAUUGCAUUGCAUUACAUUGCAUUGAUUCAUUUGGUUCAGAUUGGUUAAAGUUUGUUUGGUGAUCUUGUACUUACUGUAUAUGUGUUAUUUAUCUUACUGGAUUGAGAAUUUCUUAGAUUGUGUAUGAUAUCCUAAUGAUUGUUAAAUUUAACUAUUCAGUUAGAUUAGGAUGAUUUUUCCUGAGUGCAGGUCGUAUGUUUAUUUUUAGAUGAUUUACGUGGUGUCACUCUUCACCAUUUUGAAUUAGGAUCGGUCAACGAUGCUUGCUGAGUACACGUGGUUCCGUACUCACCCUUGUUUUUUCUGCACCCUACAUGCAAGUACCGAUCGGACGACCUCCGGAUAUUGACUCCCGUGGUUUCUUCUUUGCUAGCAUCAUUGGAGAUUCAAGGUUGCUGCUAUUGGCUUUAGAGACUACUGAAAUCUCCUUCAGCCUUGCUCUUAUGCACUUUUCGCAUUUUGAAACACUCAAACUUUCUUUUGGUUUUGUAUUUAGUGGCUUGUAUUAGUGACUUCCAGACUUGGAAUUACCCAUGAUUUGUUUUUUUUUCUAGUCUAUUAAUCUACUUAUGAGAUUAUUCGGGAUUGGUUAUGUUCGUAUUGUCUUCCGCUUAUCUAAGUUUAGAUGUGGUUCUUGGAAUUGGGUAUUUGGCUUACCUAUCACGGAGGAUGGAAUAGGUGCCAUCACGGUCCCGAAUUUGGUCCGUGACAGAGGGUAUCAGAGCUCCAGGUUCAUUGGUCUCACAAAUACAAGCCGAGUCUAGCAGAUCGGUGUGAAGACGUCCAUUACUUAUCUUCGAGAGGCUAUAGGACUUUAGGAAACAUUCAUUUUAUUCUCUCACUUAUCGUGCAAUAUUGAUCUUUUAACUUUAAAUAUUGAAAUUCUUAUCUUAUACUCUCACCGAAGGUGAGAACUCAUGCACCUCAGAAUCACGGUCAGGAUCCUUCACCAGCCCCCGAGCCGAUUGCUCGAGAAAGGGAUACCUAGAUGGGGUAAGAGACACGGUAGGGGCAGAGGUCGUGGUAGCGAAAUAGCUUGAGGGGCUGCUUAGAUUUCUGGUAGGGCAGGGUCUCUCGAGGUUGAGUUUGAGGCCGAGAUGAUCAGGAGGUUUAUGAGGAGUUUGACACUUAAGAUCAGAGAGACCGUGUUUGUUGUAGCCCAAUCUAGGGCUUCUCUUCAGAGGGUUGUUGAAUCGGUAAAAGAGUUUGAUUUGAUGCAUCGGGAGGAGUAUGGGGAUCUGAAGGAAAAGAGGUCCCAUACUUUAAGUCGAUUCAGUGGUACCUCAUAUGGAGGUAAGGGUUCUUUCAGAAGAGAUUUUCGCCUUCAACAUGGUAGGCUAGUUCAGGUAGCGAUGCAGACAACAGAAGGUGGAUAUUUAGGUCGAAGUUCUUAUGGUUCAGGACAUGCUUCAUAGGGUUUAUAUCAGCGGUUUUCAGGCCGUGGUAGCCAUACCGUAUAUUCAGGUCUUUCUCGAUAGUUGGUGGUUCCUAAGUAUUGUUAUGAGUGUGGUAGUCAGGAUUAUCUUCGGAGAGAUUGUCCAGCAUAUAGGCAGAGGUGUCUGCAACAGAGUUAUCAGGCUCCUAUUAGACCAGCAGUGCCCCCAGUUAGGGGUAGAGGCAGAUUUUAGAGAGGUAGAGGUACACCACCAGCUGGUAGGGGAGGUGGUAGAGGAGUGAUUCGGCCGAUAGAUAACAAAGCUUAGUGUUAUGCCUUUCUAGUGAAGCCCGAGGUAGAGUUCUGAUGCAGUCAUUACAGGUAUUGUCUCUGUUUAUCAUUGACCUGCUUUGGUAUUAUUUGAUCCUGGUUCUACUUUCUCCCGUGUCUGCAUACUUUCCUUCCAGCUUUGAUAUGAGUUAUAAGUCCAUGGAUGUGCCUAUUUGUGUUUCUACUCCAGUAGGUGAUUCCUUAGUGGUGGAUCGGGUAUAUCGAUCCUGAAUUAUUUCAAUUUUGGGGUGUGAUACCUGGGUAGAUUUAAUUAUCCUGGAUAUGGUUAAAUUUGAUGUAAUUUUAGGCAUGGAUUGUCUUUCUUCUUACUAUGCUGUCUUGGACUGUCAUGCCAAGAUAAUUACUUUAGCCAUGCCCGAUCUCCCUAGAUUAGAGUGGAGCGGUGUUCGGAGUUCACAUCCUAAGAAGGUGAUUUCAUUCAUUCAGGCUCAACGGUUACUUGAGAAAGAUUGUCUUUCAUAUUUAGCUUAAAUUCGUGAUACUGGUAUCGAGGCACCUUCUUUACAGUCAGUGGAGGUGGUUAGAGAGUUCAUAGAUGUAUUUCCUACUUAUCUUUCAGGUGUUUCUCCUGAUAGAGAUAUUGAUUUCGAUAUUGAUUUUAAGCCGAGCACUAAGACCAUUUGUAUUUCUUCUUAUAGGACGGCGCAGGCUGAGCUGAAAGAAUUGAAAGAUCAGCUUCAGGACUUAUUAAGCAGGGGGUUUAUUCGACCAAACGUAUUACCUUGGGGUGCUCCGGUGUUAUUUGUGAAGAAGAAAGAUGGGUCUAUGAGAAUAUGCAUUGAUUAUUGGCAGUUGAACAAAGUGACAAUCAAGAAUAAGUAUCCUCUACCGCGUAUUGAUGAAUUGUUUGAUCAGCUUUAAGGUGCUUCUGUGUUUUUGAAGAUUGACUUGAGAUCGGGGUAUCAUCAGUUGAAGAUUCGAGCUUCGAACAUUCUUAAGACUACUUUUCGGACUAGAUAUGACCACUAUGAGUUCUUAGUUAUGUCCUUUGUCUUGACUAAUGCCCCAGCAGCGUUUAUGGAGUUGAUGAACAGGGUAUUUCGAUCUUAUCUUGAUUCUUUUGUGAUUGUGUUCAUCGAUGACAUUUUGGUGUAUUCUAAGAGCGUGGCAGAUCAUGCAAUACAUUUGAGGAUCGUACUCUAUAGGUUGAGGGACAAGAAGUUAUAUGCUAAGUUUUCAAAGUGUGAAUUUUGGCUUAGUUUUUUGGAAUUCUUGCGACACGUGGUGUCCAAGGAUGGUAUUAUGGUCAAUCCAGCCAAGGUCGAGGCAGUUAGGAAUUAGUCACGACCUACUUCACCUUUAGAUAUUCAGAGUUUUUAUUGGGUUGACAGGCUAUUACAGGUGAUUUUUGUAGGGUUUCUCUUCUAUUGCAGCUCUAAUGACUCGAUUGACUCAGAAGGAUGUGGCUUUUCAGUGGUCAGAUAAGUGCAAGGAGAGCUUUCAAAAGCUCAACACUUUAUUGACUUCAACUCUUAUCUUGACCCUACCUAUUGAAGGUAAGGGUUUCAUCGUGUUUUGUGAUGCUUCCGAUAUUAGCUUGGGUGGUGUGUUGAUGCAGAGAAAUAAGGUGAUAGCAUAUGCUUUGAGGCAGUUGAAGCCACAUGAGAGGAAUUAUCCUACUCAUGAUUUAGUGUUACUAGCGGUUGUGUUCGUAUUGAAGUUGUGGCAGCACUAUUUGUAUGGAGUUCAUUGUGAGGUAUAUACUGAUCAUUGUAGCCUUCAGUAUUUUCUCAAACAGAAGGAGUUGAAUUUGAGGUAGCAUAGAUAGACGAAGUUAUUGAAAGAUUAUGUUAUGACUAUCCUGUAUCAUCCGGGCAAGGCAAAUGUAGUGGCGGAUGCCUUGAGUAGGAAGACAGUUAGUAUGGGUAGUCUUGCAUUGUGGAGUGUGGAGUAGCGACCAUUAGCCAUGGAGGUUCAACGGUUGGCUAACAGUUUUGUGCAUCUUGAUAUUUUUGAGUCAAGUAGAGUUUUGGCAUAUGUAGAGGGGAGGUCUUUGUUGAUAGGGCAGAUUCGAGAUCGUUAGUUUGAGGAUGAAAAGUUGUGUAUUAUCGGGGAUAAGGUGAUGCGAGGUGAGGCUAAGGAGGUGACUUUGGACCAGGAGGGUGUUUUGAGGAUUAAGGGGAGGAUUUGUGUUCCUAGAAUGGGUGAUUUGACUAGAUCUAUUAUGGAGGAGGCCCAUUGUUCGCGCUAUUCCAUUUAUCCAGGUGCAGUGAUGAUGUAUCAUGACCUUAAACAACAUUACUGGUGGUAUGGGAUGAAGAGAGAUGUGCAGAGUUUGUGGCUAAGUGUUUGAAUUGUCAGCAGGUGAAAUAUGAGCACAAGAGACCAGGUGGUUUGCUUCAGAGGAUGCCUAUUCCCGAGUGAAAAUGGGAGCGUAUCACUAUGUAUUUUGUAGUUGAAUUGCCUCAGACCUUGGGGAAGUUUGAUUCUGUUUGGGUGAUUGUGGACAGAUUGACCAAACCAGCCCAUUUUGUGCCUAUGAAAAUGAGCUAUAAUGCAGAGAAAUUGACUAAGAUUUACAUUCGUGAGAUAGUUCGAUUGCAUGGUGUGCCUGUUUCUAUUAUUUCGGAUAAAGGUACUCAAUUCACUUUAAAUUUUUGGCUUACUUUGCAGCGGGAGUUGUGUACUCAGUUGGAUAUGAGUACAACAUUCCAUCCCCAAACAAAUGACCAGUCAGAGCGGACUAUUCAGGUGUUAGAAGACAUGUUGCGGGCUUGUGUGAUGGAUUUUGGGGGUCAUUGGGAUUAGUUUUUGCCUUUCAUGGAGUUUUCUUAUAAUAAUAGCUACCACUCUAGUAUUCAGAUGGCUUCGUUCGAGGCUUUCUAUGGUAGGAAGUGUAGGUCCCCAGUUGGAUGGUUUGAUUCUUUUGAGGUUAGAUCUUGGGGUACUGAUUUGUUGGGAGAUUCCAUGGACCGAGUAAGAUUGAUUCAGGAUCAGCUCUUGGCGGAUCAGAGUAGACAAAAGAGUUAUGCUAACAGAAGUGUCCGUGACUUAGAGUUCAUGCAGGGUGAGUGAGUAUUGUUGAAGGUAUCACCCAUGAAGGGUGUGAUGAGGUUUGGAAAGAAAGGAAAACUCAAUCCGAGGUUUAUUGACUCUUUUGAGAUUCUUCAGCAUGUUGGUCCAGUUGCUUAUGAGUUGACUUUACCACCGGGUCUUUCAGCCGUACAUCCAGUUUUUCAUGUUUCUAUGUUGAAGAGGUACCAUCCAAAUGAUUCGCAUGUGAUUCAGUGGGACUCAGUGAGUUUGGACCAGAAUUUGACUUUUGAGGAGGAGCCCAUUGCUAUCUUGGAUAGGCAGGUUAGAAAGUUAAGAUCCAAGGAGAUAGCCUCUGUGAAGGUGCAGUGGUGGCAUCAUCCUCUUGCUGAAUCUACUUAGGAGGUUGAGUCCGACAUACGGAGUAGAUAUCCACAUCUAUUUGAUAGUCUGGGUACCUUCUUUCUUUUUACGUUUGAGGAUAAACGUUUGUUUUAGUGGUGGAUGAUGUAAUGACCCUGCAAACAGUAGUAUAGGAAUUCUUGGCUUUUCUUAUUCGGUUAAUGUUGGAUUACUAAGUUAAUAAAAAAGAGUAAUUAUUAUUAAUGGUGUUAAAUAAAUAUAUAUGAUUUAGGCGUGAUUGGUUAAUACCUCAAGAUGUCAAGGAAGUUGAUCAAAUUUUGUUACUGUCGUGUGUCCAGUAUGUUGCUGCCAAUGUUCUUGUUUUUUUUUUUCUUUUUUCAUCCACUGAUUAGUGAAUUAGGCAUGGCAUCACUUGUUUUCUUAUUAAUUUAUAAGUACUUUUCAGUUAAAAUUCUCUUGUAUAAUUGUAUUACUAGUCCACCGUAUAUUUAAUAAUAAUUUGCCACGUUAUUAUUUCAAUUUUAACUAUGGCCUUGAAAUUGGUAAUAUGACUAUUUAUCAAUAAGUAUUUCAAUUUUUGAAGUUUUAGAGUAAUUCUUUGAUUCGAUUCUUAUAUUUUGGAAGUGAAAUUUUUUAUAGUAAUAUAGGUGUCAUUAGAUUGAUACUCUUAUGGUAUUACAUAUUUAAACAGAUUUUAAUUAUUUAGAGACUUUACGUUGUAAAUUGAUAUUUGUACGUUAAUUCGAGGCAACUUGAUUAUUUGAAUAUUUGCUAGUUAUGUGUAAUGGGAGUAAUGAGAAUUGAGGGUCCCGUAUAGAUGAUUGUGACAAGCAUCUAUACGGGUAUCGGUGUUGUUUGAGGGGAUAAAAUAAAUUAAUUGUAUGUUUAAACUGUUUUUCCUAUUUGCUAGCCCGAUGGACUAGUUGGUUAUGGUACAUAAAUUAUCGAAAAAAUUAGCUAAUGAUGAUGCUUGCACUUGAUAAGUUGAGUGACUUUGAAAUUGAUGUUUGAUCUGGUUUAAGACAUGAAGUGCUUUACUUGACUUUAUUGAUGAUUUGGGGUUGGAGUUGCAUGCCUGCACAUCAUGCAUUGCAUUUCAUAUGAGAUCGGAGUGCACACCUGCACAGUAUUAUAUAUAUUUAAUGGGAUCGGAGUGUACGCCUGCACAAUAUUAUACAUAUUUAUUGGGAUCGGAGUGCACGCCUGAACAGUGGUGGAACCAGAGUUUGAGGUAAGGGUGUUCAUAAAAUUCAUAUGAGAUCGGAGUGCACGCCUGAACAGUAUUAUAUAUUUAAUGGGAUCGGAGUGUACUCCUGCACAGUAUUAUACAUAUUUAUUGGGAUCGGAGUGCACGCCUGAACAGUGGUGGAGCCAGAGUUUGGGGUAAGGGUGUUCAUAAAAAUGAAAAAAAAAUGUUGCUGCACCUACCAGAAUUCGAACCCAGGUUGGGGCUACGGAUUUGAACAUCCUUAACUAUUAGGCUAUGUUUCUUUAGCUUGUCAAGGGUGUUCAACAAUAUAUAUAUAUAAUCAUAAAUAUCUAUAUUUAACGUAUAUGCUCAGAAAUUUUUUCCGACAAAGGGUGUUCAUCUGACCACCUUUCGGUGGCUGUAGCUCCGCCCCUGCGUCUAAAUAGUAGAUUUAUUGAAAACGGAGUGCACGCCUACACAAUAUAUUUAUUAGGAUUGGAGUGCAUGCCUUCACAGUAUAUUUAUUGAGAGCGGAGUGCACGCCUGCACAAUAUACAUAUUGGGAUUGGAGUGCACGCCUGAGCAGUAUGUGUAUUUGCAUUGCAUUGAUUCAUUUGGUUUAGAUUGGUUAAAGUGUGUUUGUUGAUCUUGUACUUACUGUAUAUAUGUUAUUUAUCUCACUAGAUUGAGAAUUUCUUAGAUUGUGUAUGAUAUUCUUAUAACUGUUAAACUUGACUAUUCAGUUAGAUUAGGAUGAUUUUUCCUGAGUGCAGGUCGUAUGUUUGUUUUCAGAUGAUUUACGUGGUGUCACUCGUCACCACUUUGAAUUAGGAUCGGUCGACGAUGCUUGCUGAGUACACGUGGUUCCGUACUCACCCUUGCUUUUUCUGCACCCUACGUGCAGGUACCGAUCGGACGACCUCCGGAUAUUGACUCCCGUGGUUUCUUCUUUGCUAGCAUCAUUGGAGAUUCAAGGUUGCUGCUAUUGGCUUUAGAGACUACUGAAAUCUCUUUCAGCCUUAUUCUUAUGCAUUUUUCGCAUUUUGAAACACUCAAACUUUCUUUUGGUUCUGUAUUUAGUGGCUUGUAUUAGUGACUUCCAGACCUGAGAUUACCUAUGAUUUUUUUUUCUAGUCUAUUAAUCUACUUAUAAGAUUAUUUGGGAUUGAUUAUGUUUGUAUUGUCUUCCACUUAUGUGAAUUUAGAUGUGGUUCUUGAAAUUGGGUAUUUGGCUUACCUAUCACGGAGGAUGGAAUAUGUACUAUCACGGACCCGAAUUUGGGCUGUGACAAAAGCGCGGUACAAAUACUAGUAAUGUAUAAUAAUUGAGGACAAUAUCGUUUAUUUAAUUAGACAUUAUUUUAUUUAAAAAUAAAUAAAUAAAAUAGAAUUGAUUUUUUAAUUUAUUUUGAUUUAAAUAAACCGACGGACAAGAUCGAGAACUCGCCCUUUUUAUCGUCAAAUAAAUGAUCAAUUAUUUAAUGAUGAAAGUGGGAAAUCGACCGUGGUUUCAUCGAUUUCAUUAUUCUAGAUCGAAAUUUUUCCUUUUAUUUUCUUCUCUCUCUUUUCUGUCCUCUCUAGCUCUACCAACUCUGCAAUGUCCUUUGGCAACCUCCGAAAUAAGUUUCUGCCUCCACCUUUGCUAGGCUGCCAUUUCAAAAUGCCCAAGUUACAAGGUUAGAUUUUUCGUUGCAAUUACUUUGUGAUUGUUAGAUGUUAGGUGCAAUGUUAAUGUAUUAGUUUAUUUAGGAAAUUUUCUAUGCAUUAGUUUAGAGUUUUACUUGAAUUUAUGUUUAGGUUAUUAACUUGAAUUUUUAUUAGGAUUAUUAACUUGAAUUUGUGUUAAGAAAAUUCAGAUUCAAUGGUAAUGUAUAAGUUCUUUUGUAUUUUACUUGAUGGUUAGGGUUUAACUUGAAUUUGUGUUAAAAUAGAGACAUUAUUAAUGUAUUAAUUUUAUUUGUUAAGACUUUGGUGGUAAUGAUGAUUUUGAUUUCUCCUCUUUAUUUUGGAAUGACUAUAUAUGAUCUUCAUUGUCAAUAUAAAUAUAUAAGUUCUUUUUUUUUUGGGUAAACAAAAGCAUUUUAUUACAAAGAUGAGAAUUACAAAAUAGAGAAGAAGGAUAUCGUUAUAAAGGUUCCAUCUGCCUUCAAACCUCAUUAACCACUAUCACUAGGAAAACACAACAUUCCACUAUUUCUAGACUAGAUAACACUCCAGUGAUCGUGGCUUCACUUUAUGCCCCUUCUUAUAUUUUCACUAUUAGGAUAUACUAUAAAUCAUAUGAUUUUGAUGUACUAUUAUUUAUUGAAUGAUUAUUUAUUUAUUUAUAUAUUUAAUUUAAUAAAUCAUUACAUUAAAUAGAUCAUUGUCAUAUAUGUGUCCUUAACUUAUAUAGUAGAUGAUUUGGUGUAUAUAGUUAAAGCUUAUACACAGAAGAUUAAAUUAUCAGUUCUUAUAAGUUAAAGUUAUAGUUCACAAUCGUAGAUGAAAAUUUGGACUUACUAUCAGAAUGAUUGUAGCACAAGAUUAAAUGUAAUUUAUCUUUGAUUACGAGAAUGGUAUAGUUCUAACUUCUCAUGCUAGUGCAUUUUGUAUGUAUUGAAUUGGACCGAGUAGUGAUAGUUGUUUUGGACUGACUGAUAAAAACAUAUUCUCUAAAUUGUUAAAUGUACUUAUAUUCUCAAUCUUGAUAUAACUAUUAUGAUCUGUAUACAUUAUUUAUAGCAUUGAUCAAUUAAAAGGUGAGAUUCUGAGAUGGGUCAAUACUCCUGAUACACUGGAUGAUAAUAAUGUAUAUUGGUGAAAUAAUAAGUUAGUUGAUGGAAUUCAUGUCUUGGUAUGAAAAAUGAUCAUACGUCCUUUAUGACAAGCUUAUGAGUUUUCAUGCGUAAACUCGAUCGGUGGAUUUAUGAAUCCGACAUAUGAAAUAAGUUAAACAUUGUUCUAAAUGAAAUUAUAUAUUAAAUUCGGCAGUAAUUUAAUUUAUUGAUUAGUAUCUGUAAUCUUAAUAUGGAAAAUUAAUAAGUGUUUAAUGAAAAAUUCAAAAUUAAAAUAGAUGAAUGCAAUUACGAAUAUUUAAUGGAAUAAUUUAUAAUUUAUUAUGGUAAGAAUAAUUCAAAUUGAUGUUUUGAAUUAUUUUCAUAAUAGGGACCUCAUUAAUUAGUUCCGUGGUCCAUACAAUGCCCAUAUUAUACUUAGAACUCGGAAUUCUAUUUUCUCUAGGAAAAUAAAAAGUCACUGCUUGUCCUUGUUCAAGUAGAAAUAGGUGUGUGUUUUCUUUUCCUCCUUGGAUUGGGGAGUAUCUCUAUAAAUAGAGAUUUUCCUAGCCUAGAAAUUCAACAACAAGAAAAAGAAUUGAGUAUUUUAUUACAUACUUGCCCACCCAAGUAUUGAGAGAGUUCGGCUGUGAAUUUGGCAUCACUGUAGAAGACAACAUAUUCAAAGACGCAUUCGCUUCAAGAUAUCUUCUCACGUUUCAAGAGGUAUUUCUGAUUAUUUUUAAGCAUCCUUUGCGUGAAUUAUGUGUUCAUAUUGGUUGUGUAUAUUACAUGCAAGUGAUCUUGUCUAUUUGUUUCCAGUAUGCUUGUUUUCCAACAAGUGACAUCACGAGCCUACUUGCAUCUAAAUAGAUUAGUAUAAUAUAUUUGUAUAUAUGUGAUAGAGAGUGAUAUUAUAUACAUGAAUAUGUGUUUUUCAUUUCGUGAAUUGCGAUUUAGCGGAGAAAGUUUGUCCCAAAACUGCUUCCUUCGUGAUUGGAAUCUGGAUCAUGUUGGUGACGGUGAGAAGGACAUGAAUCUUUCUAAGUUUGACUCGUGUAGAAAAUAAUAAUAAAGAAAAGCAAGAACAAGAACGUGUUUGGAGUUUCCUGGCGAGGUAAGGUCACUCAGAAUCAGAGGAUUUAGAAUUUAAAUUUAAAAGUUGUGGGUUUCCAACUUAUAAUUUUUAUCAAUAGACUAAUAACACACUUUGUUUGUGGGUUCCAACUUAUAAUUCUUAUAUAUUUACUAGUUUUCUCAAUAUAAAUUUAAGAAUCGGACGAAAGUUAUGGGUUCCUGAGAACCGCACUUUAUGUUGUGCAUCCGCCCGCCCCUGCCCAGAAUAUAACUUUCUGAACGUUCGUUGUUUGCUGCACUUUGAGUGAUUGAUUGUUACUUUAUUUCUAUAGCAGCAUACAAAAAUUCAAGCACGUUGUGAUAUAUCUUUUGGUGAUUAUCUAAUUUUUUUCCUCUUUUUAAACUAAGAGAAAGAGUUGACAAUUAUUAGGCACAUUAUACCUUAUGGUAAUGGCAACUGACAUGUGCGUACUAGUACAAAUAUUGGGAACUAAUGAUUAAAGAAUUGUGAUCAUCAUAGUGGUAAAUUAAUUUCGGAUCAUUGAAAAGCUAUUAAUAUUUUGAACUCAUAAAGGUCAUAUCACUCGUUAAUCACAUGAACGUUUUUUUUCUCACAAUAUCUUAUAACGUAUGAAUAAGAAUUAAUGAUUAAAUAAUAAAUAAUUACUAAGAGAGUGAUUUAUUUAUUUGGAAACAUUCACAAUUCUUAAUCUUUUAUAUAUGUGGGAUUAUAAUACAUUUGAGAAUUAUGACUAAUAAAUAGGAUCCAUUAUAAGUAGUCUACUUAUUUGAGUUAUUGUAAAUUCUUAAUGUUUUAUAUAUGUGGGAUUCUAUUAAUACAUAAGUUGAGAAUAAUGAUUAAUAAAUAGUAUCUAAGAAAGUGAUCUAUUUAUUUGAGUCAUUAAAAUUAGCUCAAUAUAUUAUGUAUAAAUUUUUCCGAAUAAGUGUACAUGAGAACAUAUAUUAAAGGUUUUCACCCAAACGGAGAAAACGCAAUAUAUUGAACUCUUAGGUAUAUUAAUGAAGAGAAAUAAGUUGUGUAAAGAGGGUUCAUCCCUAUGGUUACCAAGAUUAAAUAGUAAUAAAGUAUUAAGUUUAUGUGUUGUCUUGGACCUUCCUCCCUAUCGAAUGAAUUUAGUACAAGUCAUGUAUAUAAUCUUUAGUUUGAUAAUCUGUAUUAACUCUCCUAAACUGAGUAAUAUAUGAUUGAAUCAAUGUAACUAGAGUAGGUUUUCACUUAAACUAAUAGUAUACUCUCCAUCUGAGUUUGGUCCGUAAAAGUUUAUGAAGUGAAUAAUUGGUUAUUAUAUAUGUUUAUUGCAUGAGUAGUUCUCCAAUCCCAUCGAUUGGUUAUUUGAGAUGAAUAAAUAUAUGUGUAUAUGAUGAGUUUGAACUUAACCGUUCAAUGUAUAUAUGAUUAUGUUGAUGAUCUAUUGUAAUAUUUUUCAAUCUUAGAUUCAAUAUGUCUCCUUUUACCUCUUUUAGCACUAUUUUGAGUCAAAAUAAACUUGAGAACCAUAAUUUUAUUAAGAAAAGUUCUAUUUUUAAAUCAAAAUAUGGAAAGAAGAAGAUAAAGACUCACAAUACUAAGAAAUGAUAGCUCUAACUGGCAGUGUGAAAAAUCCUAACGACAAGUGUUUUCAUUACAAGAUAUUAGGCCAUUGGAAGACACAUUGUCCAGUUUUCCUAGCCAAGAAGAAAAACAAGCUAGAUUCACUUUCACUUGUUGUUGAAACGUGUUUAGUGAUUGUUUCUACCACAUCAUGAUGUGUAGAUUCAGGAGCCACUGAUCACAUCUGCACUACUUUGCAGGGGUUUUAAGAAAUGCGCAAAGUUGAAUAGAGGUAAAAUUUGUGUUUUUCAGGCUGAUGAUUCAACAACUCCAGCUUUAGCAUUAGGAAGUAUUAGUAUUUCGUUUGAUAAUUGUAGAGUUUUAAUUUUAAAGACGUAUUAUAUAUAUCCACUGUUAGAAGAAAUUUGAUUUCAGUUUUUGAAGUUUUGAGAUAUGGUUAUAAUGUUAAUUUUUUUUAAUAAUGGUUGUGUUAUUAGUUAUCAAGUACCUACGACAUGAGAAAUUUAUCAAGUAGAUCUAAUUGUAAUACCCCGGGAAAUUUUUCGUUGAAAUUUUGUACGUAAACAUGUUGGGUUCUAUCUUCUAGAAUGUACUAUAAAUUUUUUGUGCGGAAUAUCUUAGAUUAUGACCCACCAUUGCAUAGAGUAUCAAAUAAACUUUCAGACGAUAUGUGGAUCAUCCAAAUCGGACACCCGAGCGACGAGUUAUGAACAUUUCGAUCGAACUGUGAAUAGUAGUGAACAGUAAAACGUGCAGGAAAAAGUACUGAGGCCUGGUGUAUUUUUGCUCCAACUUUAAACGAUCAUAACUCCUUGUACAUAAUGAUCUGGGUGAUCUACUAUAUAUCAACGGAAAGCUCUGCGAGUCCUCUCUCCAAUGAAAUUGGUUUCAUCCAAUUUGUCUAUCGAAGCAAAAAGUUAUGGUCGAUCUACUUCAGCCUAUCAAAAGUGAAUUUUUGGGUCAACUUCAAACAAUCAUAACUCCUCGUACAUAAUGAUAUGGAUGGGAUACUAUAUAUCAACGGAAAUAUAUGAGAGUCCUCUUUCUAAUGAAAUUGGUUUCAUCCAAUUUGGAUAUCGGAGUAAAACGUUAUGGUUGAUCUACUUCAGACUAUCAAAAUAGUCCACCAAAGGACAGAUUCGAGAAUUAUUUGAUUUUUANNNNNNNNNNNNNNNNNNNNNNNNNNNNNNNNNNNNNNNNNNNNNNNNNNNNNNNNNNNNNNNNNNNNNNNNNNNNNNNNNNNNNNNNNNNNNNNNNNNNNNNNNNNNNNNNNNNNNNNNNNNNNNNNNNNNNNNNNNNNNNNNNNNNNNNNNNNNNNNNNNNNNNNNNNNNNNNNNNNNNNNNNNNNNNNNNNNNNNNNNNNNNNNNNNNNNNNNNNNNNNNNNNNNNNNNNNNNNNNNNNNNNNNNNNNNNNNNNNNNNNNNNNNNNNNNNNNNNNNNNNNNNNNNNNNNNNNNNNNNNNNNNNNNNNNNNNNNNNNNNNNNNNNNNNNNNNNNNNNNNNNNNNNNNNNNNNNNNNNNNNNNNNNNNNNNNNNNNNNNNNNNNNNNNNNNNNNNNNNNNNNNNNNNNNNNNNNNNNNNNNNNNNNNNNNNNNNNNNNNNNNNNNNNNNNNNNNNNNNNNNNNNNNNNNNNNNNNNNNNNNNNNNNNNNNNNNNNNNNNNNNNNNNNNNNNNNNNNNNNNNNNNNNNNNNNNNNNNNNNNNNNNNNNNNNNNNNNNNNNNNNNNNNNNNNNNNNNNNNNNNNNNNNNNNNNNNNNNNNNNNNNNNNNNNNNNNNNNNNNNNNNNNNNNNNNNNNNNNNNNNNNNNNNNNNNNNNNNNNNNNNNNNNNNNNNNNNNNNNNNNNNNNNNNNNNNNNNNNNNNNNNNNNNNNNNNNNNNNNNNNNNNNNNNNNNNNNNNNNNNNNNNNNNNNNNNNNNNNNNNNNNNNNNNNNNNNNNNNNNNNNNNNNNNNNNNNNNNNNNNNNNNNNNNNNNNNNNNNNNNNNNNNNNNNNNNNNNNNNNNNNNNNNNNNNNNNNNNNNNNNNNNNNNNNNNNNNNNNNNNNNNNNNNNNNNNNNNNNNNNNNNNNNNNNNNNNNNNNNNNNNNNNNNNNNNNNNNNNNNNNNNNNNNNNNNNNNNNNNNNNNNNNNNNNNNNNNNNNNNNNNNNNNNNNNNNNNNNNNNNNNNNNNNNNNNNNNNNNNNNNNNNNNNNNNNNNNNNNNNNNNNNNNNNNNNNNNNNNNNNNNNNNNNNNNNNNNNNNNNNNNNNNNNNNNNNNNNNNNNNNNNNNNNNNNNNNNNNNNNNNNNNNNNNNNNNNNNNNNNNNNNNNNNNNNNNNNNNNNNNNNNNNNNNNNNNNNNNNNNNNNNNNNNNNNNNNNNNNNNNNNNNNNNNNNNNNNNNNNNNNNNNNNNNNNNNNNNNNNNNNNNNNNNNNNNNNNNNNNNNNNNNNNNNNNNNNAAUGUAGGUUCAGGUGCUCAGUUUCAGGUUCGACAGUGAUUCUUCGAGCAUGCUGUUCUACAUCCUCUGUUGUGGUGAGUCCUCAUAUUCCGAGGACGUGAUGUCUAAUGUUGGUUUCACGGAAUUAUUUACAUUUGAUAACUGAGUAUGAGUCAGUUGGGGCAUGUCUCAAUGACUUGUUGGUUUUAUUGAUUUUCUUAGAGGCUUGUCAGACCAGUAUAGAUGUUGGGAGUUGACUAAUAAGUCGUAUUUUGUUACCUUUUUAAAAUUCUUUUAUUCUUGGAUGAUGAUUACUCUGUUGAUAUUUGAGGGUUAUUUAUGGAAACCCCGUUGAUUUGUGUUGAACUGAAUGAAAAUGGCUCAAAGGGUUAGCUUGGGGCUACUCGUAGCCUCAAGCACCUUGUGACGCUCUAGGACCCAUUUUUUCAGAGCGUUACACUAAUUGUGAUGGUGAAUACCUCUCCAAUGUGUUCAUUAAUUACUUAUCAGAACAAGGAAUUACAAUUCAAAUAUCUGCACCUAGAACCCCAUAAAAGAAUGGUGUAGCAUAAAGAAGAAAUAUGACUCUUUUAGAAAUGGUUGGAUCUAUGAUAAGUUAUUGUGAUUUGCCUUCUUUAUUUUGGGGUUAUGGACUAGAAACUGCAAAUUAUUUUCUAAACUUAGCUCCUUCCAAUUCGGUACAUGUGACAUCCAUAGAAUUGUGGACUAGGCAUAAACCUAGUCUGAAACAUAUUUAGAUUUGGGGAUGUCCAGCACACGUGCUGAGAGAAAAUAUAGAAAAGUUGGAACCAAGAUCAGAAGUAUGUGUUUUUAUUAGUUACUCUAAAGGAAAGAAAGGUGGUCUGUUCUAAAAUCCUACAGAAAAAGAAUAUCGUUGUAAGUACCAAUGCCAAGUUUCAAAAAAUGAAUUUAAUAACAAACCACAUUCCUAAAAGUAAACUAGUUUUAUGGGAAUCAAGCAAAGAGGUAAUGAAUCAACCAACUAACGAUAAUGAAAAUCAAAUCCCAGCUCUAGAUGUCAGAGUUAAUAUGCCAUUGCAUUUUAGUAGUGGGAGAGAUGUUAAUAGACAUACAAUUCCACACGUACAAGUUCCUAAAAGUACAUUGCAUCAAAGUUCUGAGGGUGCACAAGAGGAAGAAGUCAUUGAUGUACCAACACCACAAGGUAAUUAGGAUAACAUAGAGAAUUAAAAUCCAUCAAAUGAUGUGGUUCAACCAUAAGAUCAUAAUAGUGCAGUUGCUUCUGUACCGAUCCUUACAACUAUAGUUCCUCAUCGUAGUGGGAGAUAGGAAAACCAUCUUGGUAUGUACUCUUGGGAGAGUUUAUUGAUAGAAUCCCUGAUGAGUUGUAUACCGAGCCCAUAAAUUACGAUGAAGCACUAGAGGAUAAAGAUGUAAACAAAUAAAUUAUUGCUAUAAAAUUAGCAAUGGAGUCCAUAUACUCUAAUCAAGUAUGGUAUCUUGUAAAACUACCUAUAGAUGGAGUCAAAACCAUUUGAUGCAAGUGGAUCUAUAAGAAAAUAAGAGUAGACGGAGAGUACAAGCUUCAAAUCUAGGCUUGUUGCAAAAGGAUUUACUCAGAAAAAAGGGAUCGAUUAUGAGGGAAUAUUUUCACUAAUAUCCAUGCUUAAGUCUAUUAGGAUUCUCUUAUCCAUUGCUGCAUAUUAUGACUAUGAUAUUUGGCAAAUGGAUGUCAAGACAUUUUUCCUUAAUAAAAGUCUUGAUGAGAGCAUUCUUAUACGACAGCUAGAUGGUUUCAUUGGAAAACGGAAAAACAUAUGUUGUGCAAGAUUAAGAGAUCCACUUAUGGAUUAAAGUAAGAUUCUAAGUCAUGGAACACUUGUUUUGACAAUGUGGUUAAUACUUUUGGCUUGGAGCAGUGUCUUGAUAAGUCUUGUGUGUACAAAAAGUGAAUAAAAAUAGAGUGAUGUUUCUAGUAUUGUAUGUAUAUGAUAUCUUGCUCAUAGAAAAUAAUGUUGUCUUGUUGAAUUCAGUUAAGAAAUGGUUAUCCAAUAACUUAGAUAUGAAAGAUUUGGGAGAAAUUGCUCACAUCCUUGGGAUCAAGGUUCUACGUGAUUGCCAGAAAAGGAUAUCAAGCUUAUCUCAAGCUUUUUGUAUUGAUACAAUUCUUAUCAGGUUCAACAUGCAUGCUUCCAAGAAAAGAUUUCUUCUUUUUAGACAUGUAAUUUUUCUUUCUAAGGACCAAUGUCCUAAGACAGAUGAGGAGAUAGAAAACAUAAAGGCAACUCCAUAUACAUCAUGUAUGCGGUGUUGUACACUAGAUAGAAAACAUAAAGGCAACUCCAUAUACAUCAUGUAUGCGGUGUUGUACACUAGACUUGAUAUCUGUUUUGUAGUAGGCAUGGUUAGCAGAUUUUAGUCUAAUCCAGUAAGAGAAAACUGGACAAUAGUUAAGCAUAUAAUCAAGUACCUGAAAAGGACAAGGUGACACGAACCGAAUCAGGGCCUAGUCGUGUUGGGUGCCUCAAGUCCAAUCAAGACCGGAGACCACCCUCAAUACCUAAUCAUAACUAUCUUUUACCCUAUGUCGGAUGAAUUUUGAACAUAUAACAAGAUAAAAUAAUAAUAAUAAUUUAAAUAUAUUAAUUAAAGUCUAUAACCAUAAUCCAACAACCUCAAUCAAAUAUUCAACUGGUGCCAACCCCAAUGCCAAUAUCAAUACAAGGACUGACACUAAUACCGACACCACCCAUGCCCAUAGUAGUUCUACAAAGCCUCUAUCUGAAAUAAAAAAACAUUUGAUUGGUACAUACCUCUGACCAUAGCCGAAACUAAAGUCUAAGAAAUGAAUAUUAAUGAAAGAAGUUCAUAUCAUGAAAUGGAGUCUUUCGGAGUAUGGAAGCUCACCACUCCAGUCAGACACAAAGUUGUUUCCGAAUCCAAGUCACUGAGCAGGAGGAGUAGUAUAGCCGGUUCUUGCAUCGCGUGGGGAUACAACGUCUGAAGACGGUUAGUGGAACAGACGCUAGCAUGUACUCAGGAAUAAGGAUAAAAUAAUGCCAUUAUUCAAAACCAAAGUAAUUAACCAUAUGCAAUCACAUAAGUACAUAUGUAUAUAUACCAUGUCGGGAAAAGAAAUCGGGUUUAUCAUGCAUUUAAAUUUUUUAAUCUGGGUUGUGUAGCUUUGUCAUCCUAAGUCCAUCCAUGGGCUAUAUAGGUUUAGCUCCCCGUGCUGAAAGGGCCUCGAUGCGUGUUAGCCCCAUGAACCAAAGAAAAACCUGAGAGGACUAGUACAUCUCUAAAAAAAUAUAAGUGUGACGUCAUGCACACGAUCACCAAGAUCACACCUCACAUUGGAAAACAUGAGUUUCUAGUUUUGGUCCCCCCGGUACCUCCACCUUCCACGGCUUUGCCAACAUGAGCCUCUUUAAGCCCAUGUUAAAACCACUCACACAUAACCAACCAUUUACCAAAGUGUUUUUUUAAUUAGGCAUUAACCUUUGGUAUAGUCAUACCAUAAUUAGAGCUUGCAAGUCUAUCCAUUUAUUGCCAUACCAAAUUCAUUAAACCAAUUUGACUCCAAAGUUUCAAUUGAACUAAUACCAUGGCUAGCAAGUCCUUUCCAAUCCAUUUAAAACCAACCAAACCAAUUUAAGUUCCAUUACUAUAUUAUGGAAUGGAAAAGUUUCAAGAAUAGUCAAACUAUGUGACAAAAUGUGGAAUCGCUUGUCUUGAAACUUCAUUUAGAAAUGUGGUUAGCUUAGGAAUUUAAUUCCCUUGAGGUCUACAUAAUAUUUAGGUGCUUUGUUUGGUAUACUGAUUGAGGGUUUAGGGUUUGAUAUACUCUUUAUUUGCUUUCAAUUCCUUUUACUGUGUCUAUCUUAUUACCUUUCCAUUCUAUCCUUUUUUUUUGAAUUCUUAUCUUAGUUGUAGUUUGUUCGUAUAUCAUUUGGUAUCAUAGUCAAGCUUGAUUUCGUUUCUAUGAAAUCAAUCUUGGGUCUAGUCAUCUUAGAAAAUCGAAAAUCACAAAAAAUUUUACUAUUUACGUUUUAGGUCUUAGAUCAUAUUUUGAGUUUUUAAUUUUUGUGUUUUAUUGUGUUUUUAGUGUUAUAUUUGCGUUCCCUAACACUGUAUGAGUCUAUAAACCAAAUUUGAGUCAAAUCAGACCUUAUUUGAGAGUUAUAUCCUUGUUGGAAGCUUGAGUUGAAGAAGUUUGAAGUGAAUUAAAAAUCUGAAGAUUUUGGUGAAGAAUUUGGAGAUAUUGAUGUUUGGAAUGAGUUUAGAAGGCUAAUAAGUACCUACAUUCAAAAUUUCAACUUAUUUCAAGCUCUGGAGAAAAAGUUACAAAGAUUGAUGUUCUUAGUGUUCUUGAGGAGAUUGUUAUAUUCAUAUUAAAAAUUUAUCCAAAAAAAGGUGUUUGAUCAAAAAAGAAGGAAGAAAAAGAGUGAAAGGGUGAUUAUGUUUAAGCAAUGAUUUCAAGAAUAUUCCAAGAGAAGAUUACACAAAGGACAUCAAGAAGGGCAUUUUCGGCCUUGGAACAAGCAAAGGGCGGCCAACUUGCCCUUGACCUGUGCCCAAGGUGUGCUGCAGAUGCCCCCAAUCUACUGCAGCACCUCAAGGCAGUGUCUAUGGAAUCUCCUGAAUCCAACCUACAUUAGAGGUGCGCUGGAACUGCUGCCAUAGGUCAAAACAGUGAGCAACCUUCCCCACCUGCGCUGGAAGUGCUCUAGAGGUGCACCUAAGGUGUGUGACGCCUCCCAAACGCAUGUCAAGCCUUCCCAAUGUCCAAUUCAGGUUCCAAAUGCAUUCUAACAUUGCUAAACUCCAAUUUACUCUAGUUUUAUUCCUUAGUUUCAUUCCUUGAUUCUUAAAUUCAACUCUUGAUUCUUUAAAUUAUCAACAACUAGUAGUUCACCUACUAAGUUGGAUGAUUAGUUCUUGAGUCCGAAUUCAUUCAUCGUCCCAUUUCUUUCAAUCUUUUCUCUUUUUAAUAUUGGUGUUAAUUCUUGAUCCAAUUCCUUACAUCUUUAUAUGAGUCCAUCAAACAAGAAUCCAAUCCGAUCAAGAGUAGAACUUGACACCUCGAUUACCAUAUGAAGUAUAAACCAUCUUUCAACAUUUGUGAUCCAAGUGUGAGGUAAACAAAGGUGUGAAGAUUUUGUAAGGUUAAUUUCCUUAACGCUAAUGUGUUUUUGUUUUUAUUAGCGUCUUUCUUCAUAGGUACAAUGGCUACGAAAGGCAAAACUUCGCAAACCAUGGAUAACCACUCAACAAAUGCUAUCUUAGUGGCUAUUGAAACUCUCAAUUGUAAAAUUGAUUCUAUGGACGCUAAGAUAAAUUCACUUGAAGGGAGUGUAUUCCUUAUUGGUGGAAGAGUGGAUAUCGUGGAAAGUUAACAAAACACAUACCUAUCCACACCUCAACACUUCUAUGCUUCAACUAGUGGGCAUGCUCCAAAUCCUUCGGUUCAUAUUUCCUUGAAAAACUUUCACCAAAUGAUUAAUCCACCAAUACAAGCAAAUGAUUUCGUUCCUCAAACCACUACAUAUCCAUAAAACCAAAAUCCCAUUCGAUCACUCCAACCUCAAUCCAACCAAACAUAAUAUGAUGAAUCUCGAACUUGAAUACCCCAACCUCCACUUUACAAAAUUUCCCCAUUCCAUGUACCCCUUAACCAAAACCAACCCAUCCAAAUAGACGAGGAAGAAAGGAAAGAACAACAAGCAGAGUUUGGAGUAUUCGAUGAAGCCAACAUAUUGGUAGAGUAAAUGAGAGGUAGACCAAUGGAUCAAUAAGGUUAUUGAGGUCGAGGAGGAAGAUUUUGUCCAGCGCCUAAUGGUAGAGGAAACUUAGGAAACCAGACUCAAGGUUAUGAUCAAUGGAACCAAUAAGGUAACCGGGAUCGAGAUAUAGGUAUCAAUUCAAUCAAGGUUAGUCUUCCAACUUUCAAAGGCGAAAGUGAUACAAAGAUUAUCUCUUAUGAGAGUCCUUUUAUGAAAAGAUCUUCCAAGUUAAUGAUAUCAUCAAAGAGAAGCAGAGUUGCUAUGCCAUAGCCCAUUUUGAUGGGUAUGCCAAUACAUGGUGGGAUUAUGCCAAGAGAUUUGGAAAUAUGUUAAAUAAAGGACAACUCCCUCCAUGGGAUGUGUUGAAGGUAUUCAUGAGACAAAGGUAUGUUCUGAAGAGGUAUAAACAUGAGCUACUGGACAAGUUGUACAACUUGAGGCAAGGUAGCAAGAGUGUUACGGCCUAUUAUGAUGAAUUCCAACAAUUGAUCUUGAAGCUUGACCAUUGAGAGAACGUGAACCUUGACAUCAUGCACUUCAAGGUGGAUUGAACAAAGAUACCUCCUCAUGCAUGACUAUUCACAAAUUUAAGACCAUAGAAGAAAUCUUCCAAGCGGCCUUGGAGAUUGAGAGUGAUAUCAUAGAAAAGGCAACUUACAAACCAAAAAGGGUACUUAUCUACCAACACUUGUAGUAAAAGUAAAGAGGUAGCACAAUUAUUAUCAGGAUGGAACAAGAACAAGGAAUACAAGUCUAAUAACAAGAAGCCCCUAGAGAAAACUAUUCCAAAGUACACGCUAAGGAAUAAAGGUAAUAAAUGUCCUAAUCUCAAUCCUAAAUAAAGUUUUUCAAUAUUUUAAAUGUCAAGGGUGGUGACAUAAGGCAAGUGAAUGUCCCAACCCGAGAAAUGUGAUCCUUAUGGAAGAGAAAUUGUAUUACCUUGGAGAAGAGGUGGUAUUGGAAGAUGAGAAUGAUGAAAAAGCCAAAGAUGGAGAGGGGUCCCAAGAAGAUGAGCAAAUAGAUAAGGAUAAUAAAGACGCUUGUCCUCAAUAUAAAGGGUAUGAGGUUCCAAAUUUUGUUGUGAGGCAUGCAAUGAUUAGUAAGGCGAUAGAUGACCCUAGUCAAAGGGAGAAUCAAUUCCAUACUAAAUGUCUUAUAAUGAAAAACGUGUUUUUUUAUCAUUGAUAGCGGAAGUUAUGCUAAUAUGGAUAGUGCUACUUUGGUUGAUUUCUUAAAGUUUCCCACAACCAAACAUGCCACACCAUACAAACUUCAAUGGUUAAAUAAUUAUGGUGAGUUGAAGGUGACUAGGCAAGUGGUGAUUCAGUUCAAAGUCGGGAAUUAUCAUGAUAAGGUGCAUUGUGAUGUGAGAUCCAUGUUAGCUUGUCAUCUCUUUCUUGGGAGACCAUGGAAAUAUGAUCAUUCAAGCAAAUAUGAUGGGAUGACCAAUUGGUACUUUUUUGAGUUGAAAGGUCAGAAAUUCUGUCUCCAUCCAUUUUUGCUAUCUCAAGUAAAUGUGGGUCACCAAAAAUUGAGAGAAUUGAAAGAUAAGACUAAGAAAAAAGGUGAGAAGAAGGACCAAAUAGAGGAGAAAGAUGAAGAAGAAGAGAAGAGGAGCUUGAAAGGGAAGAGUCCCUUAGUGAUGUUGUCUAGGAACAAAGAUCUUUUCAAAGAGCAUGAUGACAAAGCACCCAUGCUCCUCCAAGCCUAUGCUUUUCAUGCUAACCACUCUACUUCUUCUGUCCCCAUUAUAUUUCACUUGUUUUGCAGGAUUAUAAAGAUGAGUUACCAAAGGAACUUCCCCAAGGAUUACCCUUACUUUGGGGAAUUGAGUAUCAAGUUGAUUUUCUAUUGGGUUCUCAAUUACCCAACAAACUGGCCUACCGAAGUAAUCCAAAGGACAUAAAAGAGCUCCAAAGGCAAGUUGAGGAACUCCUCAACCAAGGAUACAUCAAAAAGAGCAUAAUUUCAUGUAUGAUUCUGGUGUUUCUAGUGCCAAAGAAAUAUGGAACAUGGCGCAUGUACGUUGAUUACCGAGCUAUUAAUAAGCUAAGGGUAAAGUAUUGCACCCAAUUCCCCAUUUGGAUGAGAUGCUUGAUGAGUUGAAAGGUUCUUGUAUAUUUUCUAAGAUAGAUCUUAGGAGCGGGUACCACCAAAUCUAGAUGCAAUCGGGUGAUGAGUGGAAGACCGUAUUCAAGACCAAGUUUGGUCUAUAUGAAUGGUUGGUCAUGCCUUUUGGCCUCACCAAUACUCCUAGUAGCUUUAUGUGGUUGAUGGACCAUGUUAUGGAACCAUUCAUAGGGAAGUUUGUUAUGGUAUACUUCGAUGAUGUUCUAGUUAAUAGUAAAUCCCUUGAAGAACAUGUCUUACAUUUGCAAAAGGUUUUUGAAGUGCUUAGAAAAGAGAAGUUGUAUGCUAAUCUUAAAAAAUGUUCUUUUAGUGUAAAUGAAGUUGCUUUCUUAGGAUUUGUUAUGAGCUCAAUAGGAGUCGAGGUGGAUGAAUCUAAGAUAGACGCCAUUAAGAAUUAGCCAAUUCCAAAAUCCAUUGGUGAAGUAAGAAGCUUCCAUGGGUUGACUAGUUUUUAUAGGCAAUUUUUCAAAGGAUUUAGUACCAUUGCCGCUCCCUUGACCGAGGUGAUCCAUAAGGAUAAAAGUUUUAAGUGGGGUGAUGAGCAAUCCAAUAUAUUUGAAGUUUUGAAGGCUAUGCUUAGCUCUACCCCCUUAUAGAAAUUACCCAAUUUUGACAAGAUGUUUGAAAUUGAAUGUGAUGCAAGUAACAUAGGAAUAGGUGCCGUCUUAAUGCAAGAUCAUAAACCUAUUGCAUAUUUUAGCAAAAAGCUCAGGCACAACUCUAAUUAUUACACCUAUGAUCUAGAGUUAUAUGCCAUAAUUAGAGCCUUAGGUAAUUGGAAACAUUAUUUGUGGCCCAAGGAGUUUGUGAUUCGAACCGAUCAUGAGUCCUUGAAACAUCUCCGGGCCCAAGAUAAACUCAAUAAAAGACAUGCCAAGUGGAUUGCUUUCCUAAAGACUAUCCCUUAUGUAAUUCAAUACAAAAAGGGAAAGGAAAAUAUGGUAGCCGAUGCAUUGUCUAAUAAGCAUGUGCUUAUCUCUAAUUAUUUUCUAAAUUGAUGGGAUUUGAGAGUCUAAAGAAAAGGUACCCCGAGGACCACAAAUUUUCUUAAAUCUAUCAAGAUUGUGAGACAUGGGGUAUGGAAAAAUGGGAGAGGGAUAGUGUUUCUAUGCCCUACUCCAUGUUUGAUGGUUUCUUGUUCAAAGGAAAAAGGUUGUGUUUGCCCUCUAGCUCAUGAAGAGAAUUGUUUGUAAGAGAGGAACAUAAUGGGGGUAUGAUGGGUUACUUUGGAAUUAACAAGACCCUUGGAAUCCUAGAGGAGUAAUUCUACUGGCCCAAGAUACGUCAAAAUGUUACUAAAAUUUAUAGCCAAUGCAUGGAUUGUAGAAGUGAGAAGCCCGCCUUCUUCCUCAAGGAUUAUAAACCCCACUACCUGCUCCUCAAUGCCUAGUGCUUGAUAUCUCUAUGGAUUUUGUUUUAGGAUUGUCAAGAACAAGGAGGGGUUAGAGAUUGCAUUUUUGUUAUGGUUGAUAGGUUACCAAAAAUAGCCCAUUUCAUUCCAUGUCAUAAAAUUGAAGAUACUUCUAAUGUGUCUUAUUUGUUUAUUGAGCAUGUUGUCAAAGUACAUGGAAUUCCUCGGACCAUUGUUAGUGAUAGGGACUAAGUUCCUUAGUCACUUUUGGAGGUCAUUGUGGGGUAGGCUUGGCACCAAAUUGCUUUCCUCAACAUCUUGCCACCCAUAAAUGGAUGGGAAAAUAGAGGUGGUAAAUAGAAACUUGGGUAUAGAUAAAGGAAAAAUGUCCUCUUAGGAGGACCACCUACAUCUAGUCGAAUUUUCUUAUAAUUGUGUUAUCCAUUCCACUAUUGGUAUGACUCCAUUUGAAUGUGUUUAUGGUUUUAACCCGCUUACCCCUUUAGAUCUCACUCUAUUGCCUAGUGAUGUUGUGAUAAUCUUAGAUAGAGACAAGAGGGCAUAAACCAUGAAGAAGUUGCAUGACAAGGUAAGAAUUUUCCUUGAAAAGAAGAAUAAAGAGGUGGCCAAAAGAGUAAACAAGAAAAGGAAACAACUUGUGCUUGAAUCGAGUGAUUGGCUUUGGAUACACCUCCGAAAGGAUAGGUUUCCAACCAAAAGAAAAGCCAAAUUGAUGCCAUAAGGUGAUGGUCCAUUUCAAGUGCUUGAAAGGAUAAACAACAAUGCCUAUAAGAUUAACCUUCCUCCGGAUUAUCAAUUACACAAUACCUUUAAUGUGUGUGAUUUUUCACUCUUUGACAUGAUAGAAGAUGAUCACCCUAUGAAUUUGAGGUCAAAUUCUUCUCAAGAUAGAGACGAUGAUACAAUCUGGAUUAGCUCCAAACCAUUUACUAGAAGUCAAGCCCGAGAGCUUCAAAUGAUCAAAGGAUUGUUCAUGAAGAGGGAAGUACUUGAAAAAGCCUCCGUACCAUCAAGAGGGUGUCAUUUCUUAAUGAUCGCACUCACAUUGGUCCAAGGAUUAUUGGAGAAGGAAAGGGUAGAAAAAUUGGACUAUAAAGACCCUUGGAAAGGACUUAUGCCUAAGGCGCUUUGGUUUUACUUUUGAUCUGCUCUAACAUUUCAAGAGCGGAUCAAAACAGUCCCUAGUGGGUCUUUUCUUGCAACUGAGUGACUUUUGGGCCCUAAAAUUAUAAUAAUUAUUCGAAACUAUAAAUACUUUGGAGGCAAGCUUAUUCUCUUUGUUUUGCUUGAUUAUUAAUGAAUUAUGAAUGUAUACUCUAUUGAGAGUAUGAGGCAAGCACGGAAUCACUUCUGUUGAAACUUUAUUUAGAAACGUGGGUUGCUUGAGAAUCCAAUUCCCUAGACGUCUACGUAAAAUUUAGGUGCUUUGUUUGGUAUAUUGAUUGAGGGUUUAGUGUUUGAUAUACCCUUUAUUUGCUUUUAAUUCCUUUCAUUGUGUCUAUCUUAUUACCUUUCCGUUCUAUCUUUAUCUUUCGUAUUUAUAUUGAAGUGCUUAGAAAAGAGAAGUUGUAUGCUAAUCUUAAAAAAUGUUCUUUUAGUGUAAAUGAAGUUGCUUUCUUAGGAUUUGUUAUGAGCUCAAUAGGAGUCGAGGUGGAUGAAUCUAAGAUAGACGCCAUUAAGAAUUAGCCAAUUCCAAAAUCCAUUGGUGAAGUAAGAAGCUUCCAUGGGUUGACUAGUUUUUAUAGGCAAUUUUUCAAAGGAUUUAGUACCAUUGCCGCUCCCUUGACCGAGGUGAUCCAUAAGGAUAAAAGUUUUAAGUGGGGUGAUGAGCAAUCCAAUAUAUUUGAAGUUUUGAAGGCUAUGCUUAGCUCUACCCCCUUAUAGAAAUUACCCAAUUUUGACAAGAUGUUUGAAAUUGAAUGUGAUGCAAGUAACAUAGGAAUAGGUGCCGUCUUAAUGCAAGAUCAUAAACCUAUUGCAUAUUUUAGCAAAAAGCUCAGGCACAACUCUAAUUAUUACACCUAUGAUCUAGAGUUAUAUGCCAUAAUUAGAGCCUUAGGUAAUUGGAAACAUUAUUUGUGGCCCAAGGAGUUUGUGAUUCGAACCGAUCAUGAGUCCUUGAAACAUCUCCGGGCCCAAGAUAAACUCAAUAAAAGACAUGCCAAGUGGAUUGCUUUCCUAAAGACUAUCCCUUAUGUAAUUCAAUACAAAAAGGGAAAGGAAAAUAUGGUAGCCGAUGCAUUGUCUAAUAAGCAUGUGCUUAUCUCUAAUUAUUUUCUAAAUUGAUGGGAUUUGAGAGUCUAAAGAAAAGGUACCCCGAGGACCACAAAUUUUCUUAAAUCUAUCAAGAUUGUGAGACAUGGGGUAUGGAAAAAUGGGAGAGGGAUAGUGUUUCUAUGCCCUACUCCAUGUUUGAUGGUUUCUUGUUCAAAGGAAAAAGGUUGUGUUUGCCCUCUAGCUCAUGAAGAGAAUUGUUUGUAAGAGAGGAACAUAAUGGGGGUAUGAUGGGUUACUUUGGAAUUAACAAGACCCUUGGAAUCCUAGAGGAGUAAUUCUACUGGCCCAAGAUACGUCAAAAUGUUACUAAAAUUUAUAGCCAAUGCAUGGAUUGUAGAAGUGAGAAGCCCGCCUUCUUCCUCAAGGAUUAUAAACCCCACUACCUGCUCCUCAAUGCCCAUGGCUUGAUAUCUCUAUGGAUUUUGUUUUAGGAUUGUCAAGAACAAGGAGGGGUUAGAGAUUGCAUUUUUGUUAUGGUUGAUAGGUUACCAAAAAUAGCCCAUUUCAUUCCAUGUCAUAAAAUUGAAGAUACUUCUAAUGUGUCUUAUUUGUUUAUUGAGCAUGUUGUCAAAGUACAUGGAAUUCCUCGGACCAUUGUUAGUGAUAGGGACUAAGUUCCUUAGUCACUUUUGGAGGUCAUUGUGGGGUAGGCUUGGCACCAAAUUGCUUUCCUCAACAUCUUGCCACCCAUAAAUGGAUGGGAAAAUAGAGGUGGUAAAUAGAAACUUGGGUAUAGAUAAAGGAAAAAUGUCCUCUUAGGAGGACCACCUACAUCUAGUCGAAUUUUCUUAUAAUUGUGUUAUCCAUUCCACUAUUGGUAUGACUCCAUUUGAAUGUGUUUAUGGUUUUAACCCGCUUACCCCUUUAGAUCUCACUCUAUUGCCUAGUGAUGUUGUGAUAAUCUUAGAUAGAGACAAGAGGGCAUAAACCAUGAAGAAGUUGCAUGACAAGGUAAGAAUUUUCCUUGAAAAGAAGAAUAAAGAGGUGGCCAAAAGAGUAAACAAGAAAAGGAAACAACUUGUGCUUGAAUCGAGUGAUUGGCUUUGGAUACACCUCCGAAAGGAUAGGUUUCCAACCAAAAGAAAAGCCAAAUUGAUGCCAUAAGGUGAUGGUCCAUUUCAAGUGCUUGAAAGGAUAAACAACAAUGCCUAUAAGAUUAACCUUCCUCCGGAUUAUCAAUUACACAAUACCUUUAAUGUGUGUGAUUUUUCACUCUUUGACAUGAUAGAAGAUGAUCACCCUAUGAAUUUGAGGUCAAAUUCUUCUCAAGAUAGAGACGAUGAUACAAUCUGGAUUAGCUCCAAACCAUUUACUAGAAGUCAAGCCCGAGAGCUUCAAAUGAUCAAAGGAUUGUUCAUGAAGAGGGAAGUACUUGAAAAAGCCUCCGUACCAUCAAGAGGGUGUCAUUUCUUAAUGAUCGCACUCACAUUGGUCCAAGGAUUAUUGGAGAAGGAAAGGGUAGAAAAAUUGGACUAUAAAGACCCUUGGAAAGGACUUAUGCCUAAGGCGCUUUGGUUUUACUUUUGAUCUGCUCUAACAUUUCAAGAGCGGAUCAAAACAGUCCCUAGUGGGUCUUUUCUUGCAACUGAGUGACUUUUGGGCCCUAAAAUUAUAAUAAUUAUUCGAAACUAUAAAUACUUUGGAGGCAAGCUUAUUCUCUUUGUUUUGCUUGAUUAUUAAUGAAUUAUGAAUGUAUACUCUAUUGAGAGUAUGAGGCAAGCACGGAAUCACUUCUGUUGAAACUUUAUUUAGAAACGUGGGUUGCUUGAGAAUCCAAUUCCCUAGACGUCUACGUAAAAUUUAGGUGCUUUGUUUGGUAUAUUGAUUGAGGGUUUAGUGUUUGAUAUACCCUUUAUUUGCUUUUAAUUCCUUUCAUUGUGUCUAUCUUAUUACCUUUCCGUUCUAUCUUUAUCUUUCGUAUUUAUAUUUUAAUUGUAGUUUUGAUUCCAUAGUUUGUUCGUAUAUUAGAAGUGAUUCCUACGUACAUAUAGAUUACAUUAUUAAGUUGACUUGGGGGAAUCCUAUAUACCCCAUAAGUGAUCAUUAUUAUAUUUGCUUGAGGGAUUCCUUUGUACCCCACAAGGCUUUCAAUUAGACCAAUCAUUACCACCAAGACCUUACCAUUUAACCAUUCCAAACCAUUUAUACCAUUUAGGGCUCCAUUACCAAGUUAUACCAUGCAACAGUUACAUUAAAAGUCCAAUAAUAUUCUAAAAGCAUUCUCAUAGGCAUUUUAUCAAAUAGGUUGGGGGCAUAUGUUUCCAAAGCCAAAACCAUGUACCAAUUAACCAUUCCCAUGCAACCAAAUGUUCAAACCACCAUACUAAUAUGAAAAUCAUAAGUAAAAGACAUGGGAAAAUCAUAACCAACCAUUGUAACCAAAACCCCCAACAUAUAUUUGAAAACAUAAACCAUACGACAUUUAUGCCAUGAAAACAAUCCAUAAAACAUGCCUUUAGUUGGAACUAACAAUGAGGAAGGAGUACAUGCCUUAGAUUACGAAGAUCACGGAGAGAAAUCACCCCUGUACGCCCCAAAUUAAUCCUAUUGAUGAAACCCUAGCCUUCCUUGACCCAAGAUCCUUGAGAGAAUUUGAGAGUGUUUAAAAGAGUUUGAGUGAUUGCAAAUACUUUAAAUGAUGUCCCGAGAGGUUUAUAAGUCAUGGGGCCUUAAGAGGUUAAGAGGGGAACUGUUCAGAUUAACCCCAACUUAAACUGCUUAAAAUUCCUGCAGGAAGGUACGACCACCCUCCCCAAACCAUACCUUAGGGUACGAGUGGUACCCUAACUCGCACCUUAGGCCUCACCUUGGACCUCCAUACUGACCAACAUACGACCACACGUGAUCCAACUUGUAUCUUAACAUACAAGUAGUACCCCAAAAACCAUACCUUGGAUAGAAUGCACUAGACUAGACACAAGGCAUCAUAUGACCUAGCCACUACGACUCGUACCUUAACAAACGACUAGUAAAGAGUCCAUUCACACCUUAGACAGAAACCAAUCCAAACCAAACUGGUUACCAUACGACUAAGAACCUACCAAUUGUACCCCAUCAUACGACUAAUACCCCCUAGUCGUAUGAUGUCAACAACAACAACAACAAACCCAGUGUAUUCCCACAUAGUGAGGUCUAGGGAGGGUAAGCUGUACGCAGUCCAUACCUUUACCUCUAAAGAAGUAGAAAGGUUGUUUCCGAUAGACCCCCGGCUCGAGAUACCAAAUACUAAAAAAAUUCAUAGUAAAGCAUGGAACAAGAUGGCAUAACACAAAUACGACACCCACAAGUAAUAGAAAACAGAGAUAAGUAAACAGAUUCGUAAUAAAGCAUGAAACAAGGUAUCAUACCAAGAAUAAUACCCCCACCAAGUAAUUCCCUACACUAGCGACCCAAACUGACCCUAGCCUUCUGCCCUAAUUCACAUCCUCCAGAUCUUCCUAUCUAAGGUCAUGUCCUCAGUGAGCUAUAACUACUCCAUGUCCCGCUUAAUCACCUCUCCCCAGUACUUCUUCGGCUUACCCCUACCCUGCCUAAAACCAUCCAAAGCUAGCCUCUCACACCUACGAAUUAGGACAUCCAUGCCCCUCCUCAUCACGUGUCCGAACCAUCUCAAUCGAACUUUCCGCAGCUUAUUCUCCACUGACAUCACACCAACCUUCUCCCUGAUAGUCUCAUUCCGAACUCUAUCCCCCCUAGUCAGCCCACAUAUCCAAUGUAAUAUCUGUAUUUCUGCCACUUUCAUUUUUUAAAUGUGGGAGUUCUUAACUGGCUAACACUCCGCUCCAUACAACAUGGCCGGACGGACUGCCACCCUGUAGAAUUUGCCUUUAAGCUUGGGCGGCACCUUCUUAUCACACAACACUCCCGAAGAGAGCUUCCACUUCAUCCAUCCCGCCCCAAUACGGUGCGAGACAUCCUCAUCAAUCUCAUCGUUACCCUAAAUCACGGACUCGAGAUACUUGAAACUAUCCCUCUUACAUACCACCUGUGAUUCCAACUUCACUACCACCUCAUUCUCCAGCCUCACAUUAUUAAACUUGCAUUUUAAAUACUCUGUCUUGGUCUUACUCAACCUGAACCCUUUAAACUCAAGAGUUUGUCUCCACACCUCUAAUUUAUCAUUCACCCCCACGUCUCAUCAAUCAAAACUACAUCAUCUGCAAAAAGCAUACACCAAGGCACUUCUCCUCGAAUACGCCGCGUUAACACAUCCAUCACCAAAGCAAACAAAAAGGGACUAAGAGUAGAUCCCUGAUGCAAUACUAUCAAGACAGUGAAAUGCUCUGAGUCUCCUCCCACCGUCCUCACCUGAGUUUUAGCUCCAUCAUACAUGUCCUUAAUUGCUCUGAUAUAUGCCACCAGGACUCCACUCACCUCCAAGCAUCUCCAAAGCACCUCCCUGGGGACUUUGUCGUAUGCCUUCUCCAAGUAGAUAAACACCAUGUGCAGGUCCUUUUUAUUUUCCUAUACUGUUCCACCAGCCUCCGUACUAGGUGAAGGUAUCCGUUAUUGAGCGGCCAGGCAUAAAUCCAAACUGAUUCUCCGAAAUAGACACUAUCCGUCUCAGCCUCACAUCUCCCAAAUCUUCAUAGAGUGACUCAAUAACUUAAUACCCCUAUAGUUAUUAGAACUCUGAAUGUCACCCUUGUUCUUAUAAAGAGGGAUCAUAGUACUCUACCUCCAAGCCUCAGGCAUUUUCACCGUCUCAAAAAUUUUGUUAAAUAAUCCAGUCAACCACCUUAAACCAGCCUCGCCAGAAAACUUCCAAAAAUCCACCGGUAUCUCAUCAAGCCCCAUCGUCCUACCCUUUCGCAUCCUACAAAUAGCCUUUCUAACCUCUUUUACCUUAAAAUGUCUACAAUAACUAAAAUUUCGACACUCCUCUGAGUGCUCCAGCUCCCCUAACACAAUAGCUCUAUCCCCUUCGUCAUUCAAGAGCCUAUGAAAAUACGACUGCCAUCUAUUCUUAAUGUGGCCGUCCUCCACCAACACUUUACCAUCCUCCCCCUUAAUGCACUUUACCUGGUCGAGGUCACGACCUUUCCUCUCCCUAGCCUUAGCGAGUCUAAACAACUUUUUUUCCCCUCUUUUCUCCUAUAACCCCGCAUACAAGCCCUCAAAAGCUGCCGUCUUAGCCGCCAUAACUGCUAACUUAGCCUCCUUCCUAGCUAACUUGUACUCUUUCCUGUUUACCCGCUUCUCUUCUUCGUCCUUACUCUCAACCAACUUAGUAUACGCCCCUUUCUUGGUCUCCACUUUCUUUUUAACCUCUUCAUUCCACCACCAAUCCCUCCGAUGAUGCCCGACUCGGCCCCUAGAAACACCCAACACCUCACUAGCAUUCUCUCUGAUGCACCUAGUCACCCUAUCCCACAUACUAUCCACAUCCCCCUUCACUCCCACACCCCCAUUCCAGCCAACUUCUCCUUUAUCUCCCACGCAUUCACUGGCGUCAAGCCGUCCCACUUAAUUCUAGGUCUACACUCCUCACCCCUUCUCUUUCUAUCCUUCUUUAUAACUAAAUCCAUAACCAAGAGCCUAUGCUGGGUCGAAAGAUUCUUACUCGGGAUGACCUUACAGUCCUUACACAACACCCUAUCUCCUUUUCUAAGCAACAAAAAGUCAAUCUGGGUCUUGGCUAACGCUCUUCAGAAGGUGAUCAGGUGAUCUUCCUUCUUCGGGAAGCACGAGUUCACCACCACCAGCCCAAAGGACCUGUUAAAAUCCAAUAGAGUAGCCCCCUCUUCAUUUCUUUCCCCAAAACCAAAACCACUAUGUACAUUCCCAAAGCCUCCCGGUAACGCCCCGAGAUGCCCAUUGAAAUCUCCUGCUACAACAAUCUUCUCUGAGCUAGGCACACCUCUCAUCACCUCAUCCAAAGCCUCCCAAAACCGUAUUUUCUCCUCCCCAUCCAAGCCCACUUGUGUCAAAUAAGCACUACACACAUUCAGGGUAAACCCCCCAAUGACUAACUUCAUAGUCAUCAACUUAUCGCUGAUCCUCUUAACCUCUACUACCUAACCUCUAAGAUCUUCAUCUACUAAGAUGCCAACUCUAUUCCUACGCCUCUCGCUCCCAGAGUACCAAAGCUUGUAACCACCUACAUCCCUAACCUUAGACCCUACCCACUUGGUCUCUUGAACACACGCAAUAUUAAUCUUCCUCUUUUUAAGAAUCUUCACAAGCUCUAUGGACUUACCCUGAAAAGUCCCUAUAUUCCAAGACCCAACCUUCAGCCUACCAUCUUUAUCUACACGUCUUCCUCUACCGCCCCUAAGGCCAAACCUUGUCCUCCCUCCCACCCCCACCCUCACCCUCACAACAGCCCCCCGGCCUAACCCCCUCGGACAUGAACCUAUCCAACUAUCAAUGCCUACCGCCACUAUUAUAAGAAAAUAUAGGAAAAUAUAAACAAUGGUAGUAACAAAGCAGCAGCAGGAAAUACAAGGCUCACAAAAAUUAGAAGAAAUAAUCAAGAAACAAAACUAAACUCAAAUAGGGAGAAACAAAACAAAACCAAGGUAAGGACAAAACUAACAGUAAGAAAAAUAGAGCACACUGAUGGCCUGGCACUAAGGACAGGCAAACAAAUAAUAAGGGGUGGUGCAAGUCACGAAUAUACUACAGCAGACACACAAGUCAAGAUAUAGGAGAUAGUAUGAUAAAUAAUAUGAAGCAACAUAAGAGGUAACAGUAAUAAAUCAACAACAGGAAAAGAAAGGUACAAGUAAAGUAGAUGGAAUAAUUGCGGAAAAAGUCUACCCCACAAAUUAAUACUAAGUCAAGCGAUGUACUAAUUCAGAACACAACUCAACAACAAUCUCCAAACAAAGUAGCCGGACACUACUACCCACAAAAGCAACAGAAAGGGUGCAAAAAAGUGAAACAGAAGCCGUAACAAAAGACAGGGACACCACAACUAAAUAAUAUACAGGAAAUCAAAAACUGACUGAAGUGGCUAAAAGCCUAAAAGUGUAGAUGUCACCGGUACGCCUGCUAGAUGCUGGUUCCAUCAAUUUGAUGUCAAAAAUCAUUGCCGGAGUAAGGUCACUGGUAAAAGAACUGCUGGUACAUUUUCGGAGUGUCGCUGGAGAGUCGUCGAGUAACGUUGGAGAGCCUUCUGCAAUCUUGUCGGGAUCUGGACGUCUUCUGACUCAAACCACCUGUUUGACCUACCUAUUUUGCCGCAGGUGAAACCCCUCACUGUUGCCGGCAUCGAGUCAGCGGGAAUCGUAGUUCCACCGACGAUUGGAGCGACGAAACCAAAAAGGAAUUUAGGGGGGAAAGGGGGGGCGAGUACAAAGAAAAACUGGGGGUGAGGGAGAUCUGGGGUGGGAGAGAGGUUCAACCUUACCUUUCCCGGCUCAAUCGACGCCGUCGCCGGCAUCAGAAACAGCCGGUCAGUCGGGGUGGAGCGUGAAGGUAAGCGUUAAUGUUAAAGGUGAUCGUUGGAGAGAGAAAUUUUCAUACCUUCUAGUCGUAUCAUGUCUAGAAGCCAAAAACUCAGGAAAUUUUCUAUGGACCAAAACCCAGGAUGCUUUAUAAUCAUAAUUCAACAACCUAAAUCAAAUAUUCAAUCAGUUCCAACCCUAAUGCCAAUACCAAUACCAAGGCUGACACCAAUAUCACCACUGCCUAUGCCCAUAGUAGUCUCGUAAAGCCUCUAUCUGACAUCAAAGAGCAUCCGAUCGGGACAUGCCCCUGACCAUAGCCAAAACCAAAGUCCAAGAAAUAAAGAUAAAUAAAAGAAUUCCAUAGCAUGAAAUGGAGUCUUUCGGAGUAUGGAAUCUUACCACUUCAAUCUGACACAAAGCUGUCCCCAAAUCCAAGUCACUGAGUAGAAUGAGUAGUAUGGCCGAUUCCUGCAACGCAUGGAGAUACAACACCCAAAGAUGGUUAGCGGAAUGAGCACUAGCAUGUAUUCAGGAAUAAGAAUAAAAUAAUGCCAUUAUUCAAAACCAAAGUAAUUAACCAUAUGCAAUCACAUACUUACACAUAUAUAUAUGUAUAUAUAUACCAUGCCAGGAAAGGAAACUGGGUUUAACAUGCAUUUAAAACUUUUAACCCGGGUUGUGUAGCUUUUCCUUUCUAAGUCCACCCAUGGGCUAUAUGGGUUCAGCUCUCCCCGGCUGAAAGGGUCUCAUUGUAUGUUAGCCUCACAAACUGGAGAAAAACCUAAGAUGACUAGUACAUCUCAAACUAAGUAUAAGUGUGACAUCAUGCACAUGAUCACUAAAAUCAAACCUCACAUCGACAAACAUGAGUUUCCAGUUUUGGUCCCCCCGAGACUUCCACCUUCCACGACUUUGUUAACUCGACCCUCUUUAAGCCCAUGUUAAAAUAUUCACACAUAACCAUCCAUUUAACAAGGAGUCUUUUUAAUUAGUCAUUAACCAUUGGUAUUGUUAUACCAUAAUUAGAGCUUGCAACACUAUCCAUUUAUGCCAUAACAAAGCCAUUAAACUAAUCUAACUCGAUGAAUAAUGAGCACAAAGUGAUUUGAAUAUGAUUAAUCUUGUGUUUUGGAUGGAUUGAGUCCUUGAAAAUUGACCAAAAUGUCCUCUUUAAACUUACAGAAGAAACUGAAAAUGUAACAUUUUUUUUGAUUUGGGUGGCUACCGCGACGCGCCACUAUCGUGGUGGCUUACUGCAAAUUGGAUGAGUGAGAACUGGACAUUCUCUGUGACGUUCCACCAUCACGGUGCCCCUUUGAAAUGCCAUUUUGGCCACUGGCACGACGCGCCAAUAUCGCGUUGGGCUACUGAAAAUCGAUAAUUGGAAAAUUGGCCCUCUCCGAGAUGCGUCAAUAUCGCGUGGUCUACUGAAAUGGGACAAUUGGGAAUUUGGACUUCUCCGUGAUGCAAGGCUAUCUCGGAGGGCCACUAAAAUUUGACAAUCAUUAUUUUACCCUCCUCCGCAACGCGCUGAGUGCCCAGGUGGCACACUGUGAACUUAAAAAUGCUCUAACUCCUCAACCGAGUAUCGAAUUUGGGCGAAUUUGGUAUCGAUGGAAAGCUUAUUCAAUUUUCCAUACAAUGGAAAGUCUAAAUCUGGAAAAUUCUACAUGAAAUAAAUAUUCUUCAUUUCAAAAGCUAUUUCUUAACAUUCUAAGAACGAAUUUAAGUUAGGAAAAGUGUGGGGUAUUACACUUUGGCACAUAUACUGGUCAGGCUACAAUGUGGAUCCUUAUGACUAGUUAAGACUCUUUACAAGUAAUAAGGAGAGUCAUAGUUAGUAUAGUGAGGAUAAAAUUUCAAAAAUUUCACGGACCAAAAAUUUGGGGUGUUACGCAAUUACUAUCUUAGGGUGCUUUAUGGUCCCAAAAAUUAGUUUUUUCUUUCAUAUACACACCAUUAACCCAUCUCACCGAAAGAGAAUUUUUAUUCACCAGAAAUUGCUAUGCAAUCUUCCCUACAGAUGCAAUAUUCCAAAUUCUACCAUCUUUGAUAUUCAUGCCUCCUUGAUUUUAGGAACACAAACUUUCUCCCAAGCUACUAAACAUGUCUUCUUUUUCCCUUCAGUAUUCAAAUACAUACUUUAUAGAUUUUCUAUCAACUUUCUUUAGAAUACUUUGAGGAAGAAUAAAUGCAAAUCACCAAAAAUUAUGUAUUGAGAACAAAACUACAUUCAGUACUUGCAAUAUUCCUGCAUAUGAUAGUUUAUUGGCAUACUCUGUAGUUUUUAGAUUUCAAAGGCAAUCCCAAAUAUAUAAUUAGGAAUUCACCAAAUAUAAAUCUAGUUUUUGCCAACAAGUUAAGCUUUACCUGGUUUGUAACUCUAGUAAUAAACAUACCAGAUUUCUGUAGGUUUGUUUCCAAGCUUGUAGUUGCACUAAAGUGAUCUAAUGCCUUAUUCACUCUGGUGAAAACUAACUCUUCACCCUUAUAAAACUCCAUUAAAUCAUAAGUAAAUAUCGAAUAAUUUAGCUUAGUACUUUUGCACAUAAGAUGAAACUUAAAUUCAGGCAGUAGACUCAUGUAAUGAAAUGUUCUUGAUAAGUACUCCAUUACUAGGACAAGAAGAAGCAAAGUCCCCUGUCUUAGUCCUCUUUUUACCUAAAGAAAUCCAUGCCCCUCACCACUUAAUUUGAUAGAGUAAAUUGGAGUGGUAACACAUAUCAUUAACAACUUGAAAAAUCAUAACCCUAUAACAAUUUCUCUAGAAACUCUAACUCACCAUAUUAUAUGAUUUUCAAAAAUCAGUCGUUAUUGAACACCUAGGUUUUUUCUGUCUUUCAUAAUGCCUAAGUAGAUCAUGGCAUAAGCACAUUAUGCACCAUGGACCUCCUUGCACAAAUGUUACCUGAUUAUCUGCAACUAUAUGAACUACUACUUCUUUUAACCUUCUAUAGAUCAUUUUACAUAUGUAUUUUUAUAUGAUAUUGCAAUAAGAAAUGGGCCUCUAUUGGCUAUGUGAUAUGAACAUUCCACUCUAUGAAUAAGAGCAACAUUUGUUGCAUUCAAUUUUUUAAGAAGUUUUUCAUUCCUGAAGAAAUUUAGUACUAUUUUUUUUAUAUCUCCCCCUAUUAUGUCAUAUGUAGCUUUAAAAAAUACAUAUUCAUAUCCAUUAAGCCCUGCGCUCUUCAUACUAGCAAUGCCAAAAAGGUUUCCUUGACAUCCUUCUGUGUGAACUCUUUCGGUAAAUUCAUCUGGUGUAUAGUGUUAAGGAUAUUUUCCUACUGCAUAAUAUACAUAUUAGCCUGUAUUUUGCUUGUUUUCUUCUUUCAUAGUAAUCUCUGAUAGUAUUCCACAAAAGUUGCAGCAAUUCUGGCUAUAUCAUACUCUUUUUUCUCCUUGAUCAUUACUGAAUUGAGUAAUUUCUUAUGUUAACCUCUUGUGCUUAAUGACUACAUAAAAAUAUCCUCCCCAUGCUUGUCAUUUCAAGUAUACCUACAUCCACUUACACAUGGUGUUUAUUGAUCUAGAGAAGGCAUAUGAUAGAGUUACCAGGGAGAUUUUGUGGAGGUGCUUGGAGGCUAGAGGGGUGUACGUGGAAUAUAUUAUGUCAAUUCAAGAUAUGUAUGAUAGUGCAAAGACUCGUGUGAGGAAAGUAGGUGGAGAUUCGGAGCACUUCACAGUUUUGAUAGGGUUGCACCAGGGAUCAACUCUUAGCCCGUUUCUAUUUUCCUUGGUGAUGAAUGUUUUGACGCGACAUAUUCAAGGGGAGGUGCCUUGGUGUAUGUUAUUUGCAGAUGAUGUGGUUCUGAUUGACGAGACUCGGGGUUAAGUUAAUGAUAAGUUGGAGGUUUAGAGACAGACACUUGAAUCUAAAGGUUUUCGGUUAAGUAGAAUAAAGACAGAGUACUUGGAGUGUAAGUUCAGUAAUAUGUCAUAAGAAGAUAGAAUGGUUGUGAAGCUAGAAUCUCAGGCCAUCCAGAAGAGGGUGAGUUUCGAGUAUCUGGGGUCUAUAAUUUAGGGUAAUGGUGAGAUUGACGAGGAUGUCAUGCAUUGUAUUGGGGCAGGGUGGUUGAAGUGGAGGCUCGCUUCGGGAGUCCUUUGUGAUAAGAAGGUGCCCCCAAAGCUUAAAGAAAAGUUCUACAGAGUGGUAGUCCGGACGGCUAUGCUGUAUGGAGUGAAGUGUUGACCAGUUAAGAACUCCCACAUCCAAAAGGUGAAGGUGCCGGAGAUGCGAAUAUUGAGAUAGAUGUGUGGACAUCCCAGGAAAGAUAAGGUAAGGAAUGAGAUUAUUUGGGAGAAGGUAGGAGUUGCCUCAGUGGAGGAUAAGUUGCGAGAAGUGAGACUACAUUGGUUCGGGCAUAGGAUGAGGAGGGGCCCUAAUGCUUCAGUACGGAGGUGUGAGACUCUGGCUAUGGAUGGUUUUAGGCGAGCUAAAGGUAGACCGAAGAAAUAUUGGAGGGAGGUGAUUAGGCAUGAUAUGGAGCAAUUACAGCUUACAGAGGACAUGACCCUUGAUAAUAAGGUAUGGAGGACGCGGAUUAGGGUAGAGGGUUAGGGGGCGGGAGCGUGGCAGUAGUAAUAGGGGAGUGCUCCUUUAGGUCUAGAGUUUCUGGUUCGUAGUGUUGGGGCUGUAGUUUUUGGGGUUAGUGGUGUUGACUUUUUUGCAUCCUGUACUAGUUUGUGAUGCACUUAUCUUUUGUGUUUGUUAUACUGUUAGUUUGUUUUGUGUACCAUACUAGUUUUUAUCUGCUUACUUUUUGUAUUUGUUAUACGGUUAUUGGUCCUAAGCUGGGGGUCUACCAGAAACAGCCUCUCUACUUCUCUUGAGGUAGUGAGAUGAUCUGUGUACACUCUACCCUCCUCAGACCCACUAGGUGGGAAUACAUUGGGUAUGUUGUUGUUGUUGUAAUUAGAAAAAUCACUUGUCUCAACCGAAGUAAUUGGAUUCCCUCCUAUUCUAUUUUCUAUUUUAACACUGGUUGAAAUCAGCUAAAAUAAAUCAAGGCAAGUGUAUUUUAUGACUCAGGAUCUUCAUUUCGUCCCAUAAGAUUUUUCUUUCCUCGUGACUCUAGCUCUUUAUUUCAUCCCAUAAGAUUUUUCUUUCCUCUCUUGUAUAACGUGCACACAUAUAUGGUCACAAAAUUUUUCUAUAAGGUUAUAUGUGUGACUGUACAUGUGAUCAUUUGAAUAACACCCCAAAUUAGUAACAUACGUCCAUACAUUAUGGAGUUUAUUAGACAUAUCCUCAAUCUUAUUACUUUUAAUCUUUGUCCUCUACAACCAUACCAGGCCGACUUUUUCCUCACCGUAAAGGAGUUUCAUCUUCUUUUGCUUAUUAUGGGUAUUGACACUUAAUUUUGACCCCCCAAUGCUCCCCCGACUGCUAUUUUACCAAAAUUAUUAAUUUUAAAUAUUAGUAUUUUUAUGUAUUACUUUGGUAGUAAAAUAUUGACAUAUCACACUCAUGAUUUUAAAGUAAGCAAUUUAAUUGUUAUCCUAUUUCAUCAAUUUAAAUAUAAUAUUUUUCGUAAAUAUUCAUGCUCAUAAUUACAAACACCUAGUUAUUAUUAUUAUUAUUAUUAUUAUUAUUAUUAUUAUUAUUAUUAUUAUUAUUAAUAAUAAUAAUAAUAAUAAUAAUAAUAAUUCUUAAAAUUAUACCUAGUUUAUUUUAAAUUUAUUAUCGAUAAUUUUAUAAUAUUUUUGCGUAGCAUUAAUUUUACGUGCUAGCUUAUUUUUAAUAGCGACAUCUUACAAUUUUCUUUCCAAGUCCUUAUUACAUCUAUUAAAUAGCAACCUAAUUCAAUUAAAUCAAUAUAAAUUCUAGCCAUAUUUGUACUCAACUUAUGCCAAUUUAAACAUAAAUUAAUUUCAAAUUUGACUCCAAAAUUGAAAUUCCCAAUUCAACUUUUUAACCUAAUUUUAACCCCAAUUUAAAGCCCAUAAUGUAAUUAUAAUGCCAGUCGUUGAUCAAACUUGAUCCAACCACUGAUAUUAUAACUUCACUUUCUCCCUUUUUUAACAAAACCAAGCCAAACCUUAAUCAUUUUGUAAUACAUCGCCACCACCACAACAGUACUAGCCGGCGCCGUUUCCUUCUUCUCCUUCACGAACCAAACUGCUAGAGCCCUCUAAUUGCAUCCAGACACCGAUGAAACAUCCACCCAAUGAUGCCCCACCCUCCGAACUGCCUCACCACCGGUAACCUACCAUCGAUGGAUGUCAUGACCUGUAUUAAUGAUCGCGUGAGAGACAUACAUUAGGGUCACGUGAGAGGCACGGACAGUCCACUUCAAUAUAAACACAAUGAACUAUUGUGAAGGAGGGAAUGAAUUAUUUUGGUAAAAUUCCAAUGAUCUUUUUCUCUCAUUCCCUCAUUACUCUCUCUUCUUCCUAACUACUUCUUUCUCCUCUCGACUAAUUCUAUCCUUAAUCGCCAUUGAAGGUGACUAUUGGAGCUUCCAUGGUGACUUAUCUCUCGUAGUAUCCAAUUCAAUUUAUCAAUUAUAAUAGCUAGUUUGUAUUGAAUUUGGAUUAGCAAUAAAAAUUUACCUUUCACGAUUUCAAUUUUCUUUCAUUAUCAAAGUACAUAACAAUUGGUAUCAGAGAACGAACCUGUCUCGAAUGUGGGUAGUAAUUCAAAGAAGAUUUUUGCGGAAUCAUAGACUUUGACUGAAUUGGUUGAACGAAACAAUGCCAAUAGAAGGGCCUUUGUGGAUGGAAUUUCUAGAAUAAUUAUGGAUUUAAAACAAUUUUAGAAGGGCCUUUGUGGAUGGAAUUUCUAGAAUAAUUGUGGAUUUAAAACAAUUUUAGAUUUGGGGUGAGGAUUGUAUAUGCAGUGUUGACUGCCAAUGCAACUCAUGCAUUUAUGGGUGUUUACGUAGUGUUGAUUACCAAUGAGGUUUUUGUCUUAAUGUCUAUUCGAGGGAAAUGAAUAAAGAGGACAACUAAUCUGAGGUGGAUUCUUGCAACCAGGCUAUUGUUGAACUGCUGAAAUUGGAAAAUAACAAUAAGGUCAAUUUAGAAUACAAAGCAGAUCAGGUGUUUGGCGAGUUUCCUCAAUGGGCAGAAGAUGAAAUUCUAGUUGAAUUUUACUCCAUCCACAAUACAAAUACCACAGAGAUCGAAGUCGUGGGCUUACGUUUGAAUUCUUGACUUUACGUUCUUGAUGUUGAGGAUACAAUAUCGAAAUUGAAGUGUCUCGACGAUUUGCCAUGCAAGGGACAUAAACUUUACAUAGAGUUUGGUGGCAAGCUAUUCAAUAUAAAGCUAGAAAGGCAUUGUUUAGCAGAAUAUUGUGGCCCGCUUACAACUAAUGGUUUUCUUCCACAUGCUUUGGGUUUAAACAGUUGUAAUUGGGUUGACACAGGGAAAGCUUUCUGGGCUUUCCUUGAUAGGGUAAAGUCAGGUAUGUAUUCAUUCAGUUGUAGUUUGCUUACCACAUUUCUUGGCACUACAAGACAUUAUUCAAUUAUUGCUAUGGAUGGUUUCAAGAAGAUCAUUCAUAUGCUAUCUUGUCAUAUUGAUUCCACGCCCAAUGAUCAAAGUAUUUUGAAUCAAUUUCCCUUUGACCCUGGAGCAAACUUGUUUAUAGUAAACCCUGUCGGGUAUCUCUAAAUUCUACAAUUACAACUUGGGUCAUAUAUACACACUGUAUUACCUGUGAAAAACAUAUUUCAGCGUUGGGUUCCAGGAAUUAGUUGUGAGUUCAUGGCCACCAGAUCAAAUGCCUCUAGACUCUCAGUGUUGCCUCAAAUGAGUGUUUGUUUUCUGUGGCAUGUAGACUCCAUAUUUGCUAUUGUAGGCCAUUUGUUUUUGGUUGUGAUAAAGUUUCAACUCCACAUUACCAUUCGGAGCACACUCUUUGAUGAGCUGCGAAAGUACUGACAAAUGAAUGAAAUGACCCAAGUCAAUUCAUGGCUUGGAUGUACCUUAGGUUUACACAUUUGCAAUUGGUUUGAUAUUGGACAAGUUCUAUGGACUUUCCUUGAUGGGAUAGAGUUGGGUAUGUCUUUAUUCCUACAUGUACUGAUUGUUUAUUCUGACGGGCUGAUUAAUAAACUCACUGCUGACUUCUUCUCUUAUGGUUUUAAGAAGGAAAAUAAUGGAACUAUUAUAGUUUUUGUCCCUAGAGAUACUAUCUUGGAUGUGAUUGAUAUCAAUUAUAUGAAGCCUAUUAAGUUUAAGUUGUCAUUACUAUAAACUAUUGCUCGAUUACGUCUACUAAGUUGUGAUACAGUGGAGGUUCUUCCAUUGUUUUUUUUGGUCAUAGUAGUUGUUUGAUAGAGCUACUGUUACUGUAGUCUAUGUCCAAAAGGAAGAAAAGAAGUAAUAUUUUGCAGUCUCCAUUGACAGGAAUGAACUUCUUGUGUUACUCUUGCCGCAUUUAAACACUUACUAUGUGCAUCCUCUCAGGACUUCUCCUUUGAGGAUAGUCAAACUAUACGGAAGCAUGACGGGUGAUGUGGCAGAUAAACAUCAAAUGAGAUGUGAAAUGUCGACUUUUUCAUGGAUCCGGUGGUUCAUUUGCAUCUGUUUGCACGCCAAACAUAUCAAGUUGAGUCAUUCUGAGGAAAUAACUAACAACAACUUAAGAGGACGGUUGAGUGACAGCAAAGCAAAUGGAUAUAUUUUUGCGAUAAAUUGGUUGGCUCAGUCGGCAUUGCUUAUUCUUCUAAAGCUUACUUCAGAAUAUUUCCCCGAAAGAGUGAUUAAGUCUGUGUUCUGCUCGUGUAAACACAUUCAUGGGAUUUUGCAAUUUGCGAGAGAAAAAUUGCAAUCUUUCCCUGUCUUAAAACUUCAAUUCAAAAAAGAAGGGUAUACAAUUGCAUCUCUACAGUUUGAAGUUGCUUCAGUUGUUGAACACUGGCUAGAACUUUUUCUAAAGGCACGAACUUUAUUUCUUUCAUCGAUAAUUGUCCACGAUAAUAGAAAGCUCUGGAUUGUUUCAAUUGAACAAGUCGUUUGCCUGCAAGUUGGUUAUUGGCAUUGGAAUUUUUGUGGGUGCUCUAUACUUCCUAAGGAACAAACCAAAUCAUCAACUGCUAUUCAAGUAUUCAACAAUGACCUUGAGGACAAGGUCGAUUUUAAGUGGGAAGGAUUGUCAUGACCUGUAUUAAUGGUCGCGUGAGAGACAUACAUUAGGGUCACGUGAGAAGCACGGACAGUCCACUUCAAUAUAAAUACAAUGAACUAUUGUGAAGGAGGGAACAAAUUAUUUUGGUAAAAUCCCAAUGAUCUUUUUCUCUCAUUCUCUCAUUUCUCUCUCUUCUUCCUAACUAGUUCUUCUUCCUCCUCUCGACUAAUUCUAUCCUUAAUUGCCAUUGAAGGUGAUGAUUGGAGCUUCUAUGGCAACUUAUCUCUCAUAGUAUCCAAUUCAAUUUAUCAAUUGUAAUAGCUAAUUUGUAUUGAAUUUGGAUUAGCAAUAAAAAUUUUCCUUUCACGAUUUCAAUUUUUCUUUCAUUAUCAAAGUACAUAACAAUUGGUAUUAUAGAACGAACCUGACUCGACUGUGGGUAGUAAUUUGAAGAAGAUGUUUGUGGAAUCAUCGACUUUGACUGAAUUGGUUGAACGAAAUAAUGCCAAUAGCAGGGCCUUUGUGGAUGGAAUUUCUAGAAUAAUUGUGAAUUUAAAACAAUUUCAGAGUUGGGGUAAGGAUUGUAUAUUCAGUGUUGACUGCUAAUGCAACUCAUGCGUUUCUGGGUGUUUCCAUCGCGUUGACUGCCAAUGAGGUUUUUGUCUUAAUGUCUAUUCGGGGGAAAUGAAUGAAGGGGACAACCAAUCUGAGGUGGAUUCUUGCAACCAGGCUAUUGUUGAACUGCUGAAAGUGGAAAAUACCAGUGAGGUCAAUUUAGAGUACAAAGCAGAUCAGGUGUUUGGCGAAUUUUCUCAAUGGGUAGAAGAUGAAAUUCUAGUUGAACUUUACUCCAUCCACAAUACAAAUACCACGGAGAUCGAAAUCGUGGGCUUACGUUUGAAUUCACGACUUUAUGUUCUUGAUGUUGAGGAUACAAUAUCGAAAUUGAUAUGUCUCAACAAUUUGCCAUGCAAGGGACAUAAACUAGAUAUAGAGUUUGGUGGCAAGCUAUUCAAUAUAAAGCUGGAAAGGCAUUGUUUGGCAGAAUGUUGUGGCCCGCUUACAACUACUGGUUUUCUUCCAUAAGCUUUGGGUUUAAACAGCUGUAAUUGGGUUGACGCAGGGCAAGCUUUCUGGGCUUUCCUUGAUAGGGUAAAGUAAGGUAUGUAUUCAUUCAGUUGUAGUUUGCUUACCACAUUUCUUGGCACUACAAGUCAUUAUUCAAUUAUUGUUGUGGAUGAUUUCAAGAAGAUCAUUCAUAUGUUAUCUUGUCACAUUGAUUCCACGCUCAAUGAUCAAAGUAUUUUGAAUCAAUUUCCCUUUGACCCUGGAGCAAACUUGUUUAUAGUAACCCCUGGCGGAUAUCUCUAAAUUCUACAAUUACAACUUGGGUCUUAUGUAUACACUUUAUUACCUGUGAAGGACAUAUUUCAGCGUUGGGUUUCAGGAAUUAGUUGUGAGUUCAUGGCCACAAGAUCAAGUGCCUCUAGACUCUUUGUGUUGCCUCAAAUGAGUGGUUGUUUUCUGUGGCAUGUGGACUCUAUAUUUGCUGUUGUAAGCCAUCUGUUUUUGGUUGCGAUAAAGUUUCAACUCCACAUUACCAUUCGGAGCACACUCCUUGAUGAGCUGCGAAAGUACGGACAAAUGAAUGAAAUGACCCAAGUCAAUUCAUGGCUUGGAUGUACCUUAGGCUUACACAUUUGCAAUUGGUUUGAUAUUGGACAGGUUCUAUAGACUUUACUUGAUGGGGUAGAGUUGGGUAUGUCUUCAUUCCUACAUGUGUUGAUUGCUUAUUCUGACGGGCUGAUUAAUAAACUCACUGCUGACUUCUUCUUUUAUGGUUUUGAGAAGGAAAAUAAUUGAAAUAUUAUAGUUUUUGUCUCUGGAGAUACUAUCUUGGAUGUGAUUGAUAUCACUUAUAUGAAGCCUAUUAAGUUCAAGUUGUCAUAACUAUGCACUAUUGCUCGAUUACGUCUACUAAGUAGUGAUACAGUGAAGGUUCUUCCCUUGUUAUUUCGGUCAUAUCAGUUGUUUGAUGGAGCUAUUGUUACUGUCUAUGUCCAAAAGGAAGAAAAGAAGUAUCAUUUUGCAGUCUCCAUUGACAGGAAUGAACUUCUUGUGUUACUCUUGCUGCAUUUAAACACUUACUAUGUGCAUCCUCUCAGGACUUCUCCUUUGAGGAUAGUCAAACUAUACAGAAGCAUGACGGGUGUUGUGGCAGAUAAACAUCAAAUGAGAUGUGAAAUGUCGACUUUUUCAUGGAUCCGGAGGUUCAUUUGCAUCUGUUUGCACACCAAACAUAUCAAGUUGAGUCAUUCUGAGGAAACAACUAACAACAACUUAAGAGGAUGGUUGAGUGAAAGAAAAGCAAAUGGAUAUAUUUUUGCGAUACAUUGAUUGGCUCAGUCGGCAUUGCUUAUUCUUCUAAAGCUUACUUCAGAAUAUUUCCCCAAAAGAGUGAUUAAGUCUGUGUUCUGCUCGUGUAAACACAUUCAUGGGCUUUUGCAAUUUGCGAGAGGAAACUUGCAAUCUUCUCCUGUCUCAAAACUUCAAUUCAAAAAAGAAGGGUAUACAAUUGCAUCUCUACAGUUUGAAGUUGCUUCAGUUGUUGAACACUGGCUAGAACUUUUUCUAAUGGCACGGACUUCAUUUCUUUCAUCAACAAUUUUCCAAGAUAAUAGGCAUCUCUGGAUUGCUUCAAUUGAACAAGUCGUUCACCUGCAAGUUGGUUAUUGGCAUUGGUAUCUUUGUGGGUGCUCUAUACUUCCUAAGGAACAAAUUAAAUCAUCAACUUCUAGUCAAGUAUUCAACAAUGACCUUGAGGACAAGGUCGAUUUUAAGUGUGAAGGAUUGUCAUGACCUGUAUUAAUGGUCGCGUGAGAGACAUACAUUAGGGUCACGUGAGAGGCACGGACAGUCCACUUCAAUAUAAACACAGUGAACUAUUGUGAAGGAGGGAACGAAUUAUUUUGGUAAAAUCCCAACGAUCUUUUCCUCUCAUUCUCUCAUUUCUCUCUCUUCUUCCUAACUACUUCUUCUUCCUCCUCUCGACUAAUUCUAUCCCCAAUCGCCAUUGAAGGUGACGAUUGGAGCUUUCAUGGCAACUUAUCUCUCGUAGUAUCCAAUUCAAUUUAUCAAUUGUAAUAGCUAAUUUGUAUUGAAUAUGGAUUAGCAAUAAAAAUUUCCCUUCCGCGAUUUCAAUUUUUCUUUCAUUAUCAAAGUACAUAACAGUGGACCACCCAGCAACACCUCCCUCGAUUUGUCUCCUCUCCACUGCCUCCCGCCAGCUACCGAAACCCAUCACACCACUGCAAAGUCACCACCAGUGGACAAUGCAGCGCUGAUGCCGCCGUCAGCCUGCUCCAUUUUGCAGAACCAAUCAACCAAUGGUAACACAAUCAGCUAUCGCCGUUGCUGCAUAACCUGCACACCGCACCAUCACCGCCAUAGCACAAGCCAAACCAGUGUUGCACUCUUCUCUUGUUGCUUCUCUCCGAUGAAAAUAAUCCAACAGCCACUGUAUGAAAUCGACAUCCAAACCCAUCACUGCCUAGCUAUUGCUGCCCCCUCACUGCUGCUGUUUUGUUUUGUACAGAGAAUUGAAAAUAUAAUUUGAUAAAAUAACAAAACAAUGAGAGAAACACAAGUUCUUUUAUUAAUCAACGUGUAGAAAAACUAUUACAACAUUGAUCACUAACUAACUCUAUUGGUGAACUUGAACCUGAGAAAGAAAGAACACAAAAGAUUUAGCUGAAGAGAAGAGGAUCGAAGAAGAAGGGAAUAGUAGUUAGGAAAUUGUAGCUGAAAUUACCAGAAUUUGUGUAAGUUUCACGCUCUUAAUUGGUGACUUUAUAGACUCCUUAGCUGUUGGACUCGGAUCUAUGAUUUGAGCCUGAUUCUAUGUUUGGGCCGCUUUUAUUCUCCGACCCAUUGACUGGCCUAUUCCAUUAAGAGCUCACCCACCACACACGUGACUUUAUUUACAGAUGUACAACAUAUUAUCUUUUCCCUUUAUACACUUCGCCAAUUAUUUUCUCUCUAACUUCUCUCUAACGGCUCUCUCUCUCACUAGACUCUCUCUCUCACUAGACUCUCUAUCUCGGUCCACGGCCUUCGGCGCCGUCGCCGACCGUCGGCGCCGACCCGACCCGACCACCGGUCCCCGGCAUCGACCUCCGUCGCCGGGAAAACUUAUUUGCCUAUUCUUUUGUUUUUGCAGCUUCUUGGCAACCAUGGUCCUCUUGCUGCACGUCAGCCUGGAACAGCCUUUCUUACAUCUGCUUAGGGAAUUGAAGUGGCAUAAUCCUACAAAUAGCAUAUUUAGUUUUCUACUUUGUUGAAUGAAACUUCGUUGCUUGAAUUUCUUAUUUUGCAUGGAACUUAUUAGUAUCUAUGUUGAACAUCUUCAUUUCAUUAUGUUGUUUUAAUUUACUCUUAUGAUUAAGGGUUUUAUCUUUACGAAUUGAGAGGUUCCCCAUCUUUAGGAAUUGAUACCGUCUCAAGACCGGCAUCAUAAAACACAUUCUAAUCCAUAUCUCCAACUAAUAGAUUCUAUUAGUGUCAGUAUUUUCCCAUGAAAGUUGAAAGAUGGUUUGGUUUUGUUCAAUCAAUUAGUAAAAAUUUCUGCUUUACAUUGAUUUCAACUUUGGUGGAAAGAUAUGGCAUGGUAUACUUCUACGAUAUUCAUAAACAUUCUCAUCAGCUAGAUCAAAUUAAUAAUGCUUAAUUGGAAGUAUAAGUUUUACAUCAUCAUGAACAAAUUAAUAUGCUCAAUAUCUGAAGAAAUGUGCAAGAAAGCAAACUUGUCUGUAAGUAUGGAAAUGAGCUGGCACAUAUAUAUAGUAUUGUCCCUUGAGUACAUUGUCUCAUUGGUGAGCAAAUAGUGAGUUAUUCCUCCGCCAUUAUAGUUUAUUUCAGUGCCAGGGUGAACGGAACAUUUGAUGAAGUAGCAAAAUGAAUUGAGUAUGAUGAACUUACAGAAUCCAACCAUCCCAGUACAAGAAUCAGGAUGUACAAACAUUUCAAAAGACCAAAAAUCAACUAGUUUGCAUUUAAUAGGCCAUAAAAGUAAAUAUCCUCAAAAUGAUGGUAGAAAGUUCCAAAACAUGACUUAUUAUUUCCUGUUCAAAACAAAAAUACAAACAGAGGUCCUCCCUCGUUCAAAUGGGGAAUGUAACAUUAGUAUCUGUGUUCUAACUUCUCCUUCUCCUGGAAGUGCUGCACAUACCUGCAUGCAUCAAGAAACAUCAUGGCUAUGAACUGAGCAACAUCUUGACUUAGCAAAGAAUACAUAUAUUGUAAUGAAGUCAAAAGAAAAUCAUUCCGUUUCAGUGAUCCAAUAGCAAAGGGGAAAGGGGGAAGGUGAACUGACUCGACAAGCUCAAGCAACAGAAGAUGUAAACAAUUACCACAAUCGCUUGAUAAAAUUCACUCUGUCUGAGUGCAGCUCAAAUACUAUGAUCCGGAUUAAUCUCUUAUCAUUGAGACAAGUUACAACUUAAAAUAACUAAGAACUUUCACAUGCUUGGAGACAACGUUGAACAAAAUAAAGAAAGUCGACUAGUUAAUCACAUUUACCUUGACCAAAUAAGAAUAGCAAAAAUACUUUAAUUAAGAUUCAGUUAGAGGCAUAAUACCUCAUUAGAGCUGUAAACUUGGUGAUAUAUUCUUGAACAAUUUACUAGUAUGCACACUUGUCUGAUUUGUGAAAGUACACAACAAUUAUCUAACUAGUGUCAAACACGUUCUCAAAUGUUAAUAUCUUAUUAACCUUACAUUUUCAAUCUGUAAGUAGGGUCAAAAGACGCUGAUCUCAGCUUCAGCAAUUAAAUAUUUGUAGAAGCAAAUGUCUUCAAUAAGUAUAAAUUGGCAUUGUGCAAUUGUAGAUUCACAGUGUAUGAAGGUCUCAUGAAUGCCUGGAAAUAAUGCUCUUAUGCAUAUUCUAAUGGCUCUUCACAGUUUGUAUGUUAUAUUCCAACUAAAAUCUGAGCAACUAAGUUCCAUACUAAGCUACAGCCUUCAGUUGGACUGGCUAUACAUUUCUACUCAAGAGAACUAAUGUGCAACACUUCCUAUCCAACCCCACCCAAGAAAGGGGCGUAUGCCAAGUUGGUGGAGAGUAAGGACGAAGAGGAGAAACGGGUAAACAGGAAAGAGUACAAGCUAGCGAGGAAGGAGGCUAAGUCAGCAGUCACGGCAGCUAAGACGGCCGCCUUUGAGAGCCUGUAUGCAGGGUUACAGGGGAAGGGAGGGGAGAAAAAGUUGUUUAGACUCGCUAAGGCUAGGGAGAGGAAGGGUCGUGACCUCGAUCAGGUGAGGUGCAUUAAGGGGGAGGACGGUAGAGUGUUGGUGGAAGACGGCCACAUUAAGAAUAGAUGGCAGUCGUACUUUCAUAGGCUCUUGAAUGACGAAGGGGAUAGAGCUAUUGUGUUAGGGGAACUGGAGCACUCAGAGGAGUGUCGGGAUUUUAGCUAUUGUAGACGUUUUAAGGUAGAAGAGGUUAGACAGGCUGUUCGCAGAAUGCGAAGGGGUAGGGCGACGGGGCCGGAUGAGAUACCGGUCGAGUUUUGGAAGUUCGUUGGAGAGGCUGGUCUUAGGUGGUUGACGGGAUUGUUUAAUGAAAUCUUCAAGACGGCAAAGAUGCCCGAGGCUUGGAGGUGGAGCACCAUGAUACCUCUCUAUAAGAAUAAGGGGGACAUCCAGAGUUGCAACAACUAUAGGGGUAUUAAGUUAUUGAGUCACUCUAUGAAAAUCUGGGAGAGAGUGGUCGAGGUGAGGCUGAGACGGAUAGUGUCUAUUUCAGAAAACCAGUUUGGAUUUAUGCCUGGCCGCUCGACGACGGAGGCAAUUCACCUGGUACGGAGGUUGGUGGAACAGUAUAGGGAGAGGAAGAAGGACCUGCACAUGGUGUUUAUCGACCUGGAGAAGGCCUACGACAACGUCCCUAGGGAGGUGCUUUGGAGAUGCUUGGAGGUGAGGGGAGUACCGCUGGCAUAUAUCAGAGCAAUCAAGGAUAUGUAUGAUGGAGCGAAAACUAAGGUGAGGACGGCGGGAGGAGACUCAGAACAUUUCACGGUCCGGACAGGGUUGCAUCAGGGAUCUACUCUUAGUCCCUUUUUGUUUGCAGUGGUAAUGGAUGUGUUGACGCGGCGUAUUCAAGGGGAGGUGCCGUGGUGUAUGCUUUUUGCAGACGAUGUAGUUCUGAUAGCUGAGACCCGAGAGGGUGUGAGCGACAAAUUAGAGGUGUGGAGGCAAACCCUUGAGUAUAAAGGGUUCAGGGUGAGCAGAAGCAAGACAGAGUAUGUGGAAUGCAAGUUUAAUGACAUGAGGAGGGAGAACGAGGUAGUAGUGAAGCUGGAAUCACAGGAGGUAGGUAAGAGGGAGAGUUUCAAGUAUCUCGGGUCCGUGAUCCAGAGUAACGGUGAGAUUGGUGAGGAUGUCUCGCACCGUAUUGGGGCGGGAUGGAUGAAGUGGAAGCUCGCGUCGGGGGUGCUGUGUGAUAAGAAGGUGCCGCCUAAGCUUAAAGGCAAAUUCUACAGGGCGGUAGUCCGUCCGGCCAUGUUGUAUGGAGCGGAGUGUUGGCCAGUUAAGAACUCCCACAUCCAGAAGAUGAGGGUGGCAGAAAUGCGGAUGUUGCGCUGGAUGUGUGGGCUGACUAGAGGGGAUAGAGUUCGGAAUGAGAACAUCCGGGAGAAGGUUGGUGUGACACCAGUGGAGUGCAAGAUGCGGGAAGCCCGAUUGAGAUGGUUCGGACACGUGAAGAGGAGGGGCAUGGAUGCCCCGGUCCGUAGGUGUGAGAGGCUAGCGUUGGAUGGGUUUAAGCGGGGUAGGGGUAGGCCGAAGAAGUACUGGGGUGAGGUGAUUAGGCGAGACAUGGAGCAGUUACAGCUCACCGAGGACAUGACCCUAGAUAGGAAGGUCUGGAGGACGCGAAUCAGGGCAGAGGACUAGGGCCAGCCUGAGUCGCUAGUGUAGGGAACUACUUGGUGGGGGUUUAUGCAUGUUAGGAGCCCGCGUCCCAUGUUUUAUUAUGGAUCUGUGUGUUUUCCUUUGUUUUAGAUUACUUAUGGGUGCCGUAUUCAUGUUAUGUAAUCUUGUAACCUUGUGCUGUGCUUUACUAUGUGUUUGUGUGGUACCGCGUGUCUUGAGCCGGGGGUCUAUCGAAAACAGCCUUCUACUUCUUCAGAGGUAGAGGUAUGGACUGCGUACAUCCUACCCCCCCCAGACCCCACCAGGUGGGAAUACACUGGGUUUGUUGUUGUUUGUACACUUCGCCAAUUGUUCAGUGGACACUACACGUCUCCACGCCGUUCUCGACAAGUUUCACAAAAAAAUAAAACAUCAAGAUGUUGAGAUGGAUUCUCAUAAAUGUGAAUUCAUCCCUGAGGUAAUUUUCCGUGUGUCCAUAAUCAUGCUUAAUUGCUAUUUUUAUUCUUUAUUUCGUAUUUUUAUGCUUUGUUUAUAUUCAUGAUCCUAAAAUUUGUGUCUCUUGUUUGACAGUUAUUAUUUAUUUCUCGAUGAUUCUUGUAUGUUUUUUCAUUUGGAUGACAUGUGAAUAUAUCCAAUUACUAAAAAAUAGUAGAACUAAACAGAUACUGACACUAACAGAGUUAAUUCCAACAGCAACCUACUAAUGCAAUAAUGAAUGUUGACUUGAUAGAACUAAAUAGAUACUGACACUAACAGAUUUGAUCCAUAGAACUACAUAGUGAUACUAACAGAGCUAAUCCCAAUAGCAACCAACCAAAUGAAUGAGUUAUUAGAUAACUAUAUACUAACACUAAUAGGGUUAAUCCCAAAAGAAACCAACCAAAUGAAUGAGUUGUUUUUAGCUAAAAUCAAAUGCAACUAUGAAACAAGAAAAACCAAUGUAGCUUGUACCUACCAGAAAAUUUAUUCUUUUUCUUACCUUGUUCAAGUUGCUAUAUGUUAUCAAUGCUAGGUUCUUUUCCAAGUUUGGCCAAAUCUAAGGAAAUUAAAAGAACAAGUUAAGACUCAAGAAACAAAAAUAUUAAAUAAAAAAUUUACCAAAUACAAGGUGUUUUUGUUACCUUGUUCAAGUUGCUCAAGAGAAUCUAAAUCCUCCUCGACACUUAUAGGUUGUGAUUUACUUCAAAUCCAAUCUUGUAGACACACUAGAGAUUGUACCAAUUUGGGAGUUAAUGAACUCCUAAAUGAAUCACGAAUAUGCCCCUUGGUACUAAAAACAUAUUCUGAUGCUACACUUGAAAUACGAAUAACUAAAAUAUCUCGAGCCAUCUCAAAAUGAAAGGGAAAUCUAGCCGAGUUAUAUUUCCACCAAAGCAAUAAACUUAAUUGGCCUUUCCAUCUUCAAUAUCUUUUACAAGAUAUUUAUUCAAUUCCGACUUAGAAUUUCUGGAUCUACUCCCAGAAGUGUGUUUACUCAACUCCUCAUAAAAGUCACCAAUAUCUUCCUCAACCAUAGAGAUUGAACUAUAAGCCUCCACUUUUGAAAAUAGUUUACCACCUUUGUCUUUUGAAGCAGACUAUGAAUACUUAUCAAAUAAUAAUUUUAUGUACUCUCGUACAUAUUUCCAGUAGUUGGCGCUUUAUCCCCAAACAUCUUUUUAAGUGCAAAAUCUAGAGUGACAAAUUUAUGACGAGGAUUCAAAACACAAGGUAUAAAAAGCAUCUUAUUUAUUUUUGUUGGAUCACCCCAAUAUUUUUUUAAAUUUCUUCUUCAUGUUUGUUACCAUUUAAGCCAAUACACUAUCAUCACUUGAUAUCAAUUCUGUCAAGUAAAAAUCAACUUGACAAAUUUCAAGAAAAUGAAUAUUUGAUUUAAUAUACAAUGAUCCAGAUACCUUCAAAGUAAGCUUAAAAAAUAAUUUAAGAAAUUUUACAAUUCUUUUUACACUAUACCAAUCACCACUCAAAAGUGUACCUGCAGGUUGUUCACCCAUAGUAUCACUAUCACCAUCACACAUAUGAAUAUGACCAAACUCGAGAUGAUGUACCAAACCAAUAUCACGAUUAGCAAAAUUUAAAAUUGUACCCUCAUAUUCAAUAGCCCUGUUCAACAUCAAGUAGGUGAAAUUCUACCUUGUGGGAACAUCUAAGCAUAAAGACUUCUUUGCAAGAUUUUCAUCUUCACAACAUUCUUGAAAGUUCUUCCAUCAAGCAGGAGAUUGCCUAAUGUAUCUCACUGCUUGCCUGAUUCAUUCAAUAGAAACAGUUGCUUCUUUCAUGUCAUCCUGAAUGACAAGGUUUAUGAUAUGCUCCAUACACUAACAUGAAGAUGCUUACCACCCAUAAGAUUGGUUCCCUACUUAGUCAAUUUCUUAGACAUCUCAACCACACACACUAUUUGAACUAGCAUUAUCAACAAUAAUCGUGAAAAUUCAAUGCAAUCCCCACUCAUACAAACACUUAAUAUCUUUACCCCUAUGGCUAGAAAUUGGACAAAAAUUGAUAAUUCUUUUAUGCAAAGUCCAAUUUUUAUCAUUCUAAUGAGCAGUAAUACACAUAUAAUUGAUUCUUUGCACAAAAGUUUAAGUAUCAAUCGUUAUACAUAUUUUUUGUUGAGUUUCCUUAAAAAUUCUCCUCAUUUUAUUCUUCUUUUAUCAAAGAGAUCAAAACAAUCAUGAGUAACAGUUGUAAGAUAAGGAAUUCGAAACAAAGGUUGUACCACUUUCAUAAAUUAUUUAAAGCCUUCUUUUUCAACAAAUCUAAAAGGAAGCUCAUCAAGAAUUAUCAUACGACAUAAAGAUUUUCUACCCUAUUCUUGAUCAAAUUUCCAUAAAAGGAUUGAUACAUCACCCUUGUUACCCCAUGUAACCUGUUGAAAUGUUAUCUUUGAUUGCCUAGUAUCAACAUUAUGAAGUAAUUUUUUGCAUCUUUUAUAUGACCAAGCAUUGUCAUUGUACCAUGUUCUUUUGUAUAAGCUAAAUACUCUUGUUUUCAAUAAUUACACAUACCCUUUUUAAUUCUUUCCGAAUAAACUUUACAAGUAAAAUGAUCCCACACAACAAAUCUUUUUCUCCUUAUUCUUUGAUUUAGACUCAACUGUCGGACUUUGAUUCACUAUAUUCGAAUCAGAAGCUAUACUCUUACCAAUCACUUUAUCAACUCUAGUAUUUUGUAUCAUUUAGUUAUAUCAAUGUGACUGUAAUGGUAAAAGAAAAAUAAUCAAACAACAAACCAACAAAAAAAUUUCAACAUAACAUGACCAAAACUUGACAAUAUACAUAGAGCAUAAUAGACCACACCAUAGAAUAUCAGCAUGCAAGCAUUAAUCAGUGACUUACUGACUUCACAUUAAUUCAGUAACUUAAGACAACACAAUGUAUUCAUCCAACCAUAUAUAAUAUUGUCGAUUAUCAGAUAAAAUAUGAUUUCGACACAUAUUGCUAAGUAAUCUCAACAUAUAUAUCAGGACUUUUAAAAUCAGAUGUCCCUUUUUUUAGCAUUACAUUGCGAAGAGUCUAAGACUGGUCAAGACUCAAGACAUUGUUGUUUACUAGAUCAGCCAAAUUAACUCAUAAAAAGUUGGUUGGAAGGUUUGGCUAUGGUCCAACUCCAACACUAGUAAGGCAGUAACCAAUGUUUGAACAAAAUAGCCCCAAAUAGCCAAUCGCAGAACAACAUUGUCAUCACUCUCAAAAUAUAAAAAUAAGAAAUUGAAACAUUGUUUAACACCAGUAAGUUGUUUAUCACUCACAACAAGGAGUACAAGCAUGACAAAAAACAUUACUUAUUCAUUUGUAAAGUCAGAAAACUAAACUUUGCAAGCACAACUAGAUCAAUCUUUUAACUGAACUGCAAUUUCACAAUAAAUUAGCUUAAUCAACUAGUAAUGUAACUAUAUAAGCAAAUAACACCUGAAUUCUUCAAAAUUACUAUCCAUUUAUUAAAAUCAGCUAUUCAAGUUACACAGAUGACAAGAUCGAAAGACAUGCAAAGAUACAAAUGAGAUGGUCUUUAGCAUAAUACAUCGAAGAUUGGACAGAAAUUGAAGAUGAAGAAGAAGACUAUCUAAGAAUGAGAUGGAACAAAACUUGUUACCUGUUGAGCACAACAACAACAGCUGAGUAGUAAAUCAUCAUUGGUCUCUAGAGUUUUCAACAAAAAUUGAGCUUGAAUACUGAGUUUUGGUCUAUGUUAGUGAAUACUGAGAGUGAGAGACUGAGAGGUGCUAAGACAAAUGUGAAAUCAUGAAUAAACUAUUAAACCCUAAGUCUCUAACUCUAACUGCACAAUUAGGCUUGGGAAAUGGGAAUGAAUCGCUUUUGCCUUUUGGGCCAGUGGGUAAUGGGUAUUGAGAAUAUAAUGGGGCUGAGACCUAUGUGUUAUUUAUCGGGUUAUUCGGUAACCUGAUAAAAAAGUUAAGUAAAUUGAGGCCCGAAUUGACAAAUCAGUAAUAGAAAUUUUAAACCCGACACUCAACCCAAUAAUUAAAAAAUUGACCUGUUAACCCGAUAAACAAAUUAUCGAUUCGGAUUAACGGGUUAAAUCAAAAUCUGCAUAGCCCUAUGGGCUACAACUUAUAGAUGUAACAAAAAUAAAAAAUUUACACUAUAUAGAUAGGAGGAGCAGACAACAACUUUCCUGCAAAGCAAUAUUAGAGCAUUUGCAUAAACAACACCCUUACUACAACGGAAACCAACGAAGCUAUACCUUUACCACCAAAUGGGGUUAAUUAUUGAAAAUGCCAUCUUAAAGCUUAAGACAAUAAGAGGUAAAAAAAUAUGGGGUUCAUAUCACUAAACCCCAAAAUAAAAAAUAAAAAGAGUAACAAUUGGAGUGAGAAAAAGUAGAAUGCUUGAUACUGGUAUGGUGUUCUUGCUAGCAAUCACAGAGUUUUUUAGAGGUUAAUUUAAUAAUAUUUUUUGACAAAUGAAAAUGAAGAAUCUUCAAGUGAAGAUGUAGUAUCAAGAAAUGACCAUGAAAAGUGGGUCUUUCAUGAGGAAUGUCGAUCCAAGAAAUUACAACAUAUCAUAAUGAAGUUUGUUUAGCUGAAAAAUUCGUUUUGGAUUUUCUUUGUAUAGUAUUGUCAAGAUAGACUAAUUAAGAAGAUAUUUUUUUGAUGAACUAAGCAUGUUCCCUGUACAAAUGGUCAAACAAUAUCAUUCAAAAAAAGUAAAGACGAACUUUCACAAGGUGCAAUAAAUAAACAGUGAACCCCUACUUCUCCCAACUUCUAAUAUUGUAUAUGGAUUAAAAAAAUGAAAUUAAUAUUCCAAAUAUCAUUCAACCACCUUGAAUGCACGUAAUUUGAACUAUCCUAAAUUGAUGAGCAAUUAAAAGUAACAAAUAAAAAUAACUCCAUUGGGUACUCACCCAAAUGCAAAAGUGAACAAGAAAAUAAAUCACAAAUAGGUACAUUUUGAAGAAGCCAAAAGAAUGAAUAAUAAAUAUGGUAUAAUAUAUCAAAAUUAGAGAACAAAAAGGUCAAACCCAGAUGAAACUAAUGCACUGCAACAAAGAUAUUAAAAAAAGAAUACUAAUUUAGAAUUGAAAAAAAAAAAUCUUGAGACCAAGAAACUCAUUCCUGAAUUUUAAAAAUGAUUUCUUAAACGGAGACUAAAGGAUAAGACAUAAAAUUAUAGAAUGGUGUAGUGAAAUUUGAAACCAAAAAUUAUAAAAUUCAAUCAAAAUAUAUCAACUGAAAACAUAAGACAAUAAAAAGUUAAAAGCAUAUUUUGGAUGAAUGAAGAAUACCUAGAGAAACCAACAUGGGUUGUGAUGCAGUGGAUGUGGCUGUUCCACUUUUAACCAGAGGUUGAGAGUUCGAUCCUGUGUAUGGAUAAAACUCUGUUAGAAGUGCUGCCAUCUUAAUGGUCCCUACAAUGCGUGAUCCAGAUUAAUCGGGCUCCAAUACGGACAUCGGACAACCGUAUGGAAAAAAAAAAAAAAGAAGAAUACCUAGAGAAACUGAACAAAACUAUGAUAUGUCUGUUUAUUUCAAGGGUUAAAAGACACGUUGCAUAAACUGUGUUUAAAAUCUAAAAUAUCCUUAUGCUAAUUUAAAAAAGAAAACUAGAAGGAACGUUCUUUUCUCUCUCAUAUCUUUCAUGCAAAAACCCUUAAAAAAAACUCAACUUUUACCAGAUUCUAUCGCCACAAGAGCCACCCCUCGACAAUUGGUAAGAUAUCUUAAAUGUCGCCUGACCUACUCCAAGAAUUAUAUCACCCAAAGAGCCCACCAUUAUCAAAAAAUCAAAACCCUUAAUCCAGAUAUUGCCUACGGUUGAUUUGCCUAGCAAGGAUGGGAAUACUGAAUCCAGUGGUGAUUUGUAUAAUCAGAGGGGCAAAAUACAAUAUGUGGAUUUAGUUAAACCAAUCAAUAUUAAUGUGUAAGGCAAAUAAAAUAUGGAGCAGUCGGAUCUAUUCCUGUCAAUAGUUUGUCAUACAACAACAGUGUUCCUAGGGUAACAGGAACUGAAGAGGAGGUACUAAAGAUAAAUGUAAUAAAGAGUUUGCAGUAUGCAAUUAUUGAAAUUUUUUUGUAUAGGUGGCUUGAGUUAGAGGAGCUCAGACUUCAAAUGUCAAAAUAGUGUAAGGUACAAAGGGAAUUGUAAGAUUGGCUUUUGGAAUAGGCAUAUCCUCAUGAGAUUUAAACUUAUUGAGGAUUAUGUAAAUAUAUUAUCAAAAAAUGAACAUUGUAUUAUGGCAAAGGAUGGAAUCUUAUCAGAUGACACCACUCAUAUAUGAAACAAGGUUUACAUUUGAUGAAGAAAUCACUCAGGCUAUGACAUGGAUCUUCUUCCUAGAUUUAUUGCCUACUUUUUUUUAAAAAAAAAGUCUACUUUUUCACUUGAUACGGAUGUAGGAAAACCAAUGCAUUUAGAUAUGACAACAAUCAACAAGAUAUGAUCAAGUUGUACCUGGGUGAAAAUUUAAGUUGAUUUGGCAAGUGAGGUGUCGGAGUAUGUGGAGCUAGAGGUUGUUGGGAGCUGUGAGAAGGGGUUGAGGACUGAAAAAAUCAAAAUUCAAUAUGACUUUCUUCAAAAAUACUAUAAAAAAUUACAAACUACAGGUUCAAAAUGAAGAGGGAUAUAUUAUGUCCAAGAAGAGAUAAUUAAAGCAGAAGAAGAAAAAGUGAGUCCCAAGCGGGAUAGCAGGCCUAGAACCUAUCGGGGGUAGAAGAGGGACACAAAAAGGUGGAAUUCUACAAGUAGAUUUGUGGUUGAAAUAAAUCCAACUACUUGAGUGAUAAAAAUGUCUUACCAAGAGAAAAGAAUGUCCAUUCAGAUAACCCUUUUCAAACCUUAGCUGAUGUGAAUGAUAAUGAGGAGUAGGUGGGAAGUGC